UCCAGGCGUAUGGCUUCUCAGACCUAUUUUGCAGAAUUGGAAGUGCAUAUCUUCUGCCUCUUUCUCAGUCUUAGUGGAAGGCUCCCCCAUUUCACCCUUUAAGAAUAAAAAAGGUAUCAGACAAGGUGACCGGUGACCCUCUAUCCCCCGUCCCUUUUAAUAUGAUGAUGGAUAUACUAGGUAGACUUAGAAGGAAGCCAGGGAAAAAGUAUAUGACACAUGUAUAGUGAAUGGAGCCACGACCUCUGCAGAUGAUAUACUAUUAUUCACAAAAGCAAAUCCCAAAACUUUAAAGGCAACCAAAUCUAUCCUGAAAGCCUUCUCUGCCAUCUCUGGGCCUAUGAUCAAUUCACAAAAAAGAUCAAUCGUCUUCUCAAAAGUCUGUAAAAAAUCAAUAGAGCUACAACAAAUCCUGUAACCCCUAUUGGCGCCUCCAGGUAUUGGGCCCUAAUUGAAUCUGGACCCUCCGAUUCACUGUAAUUAUUUGUUUUAAACACCCCAAAACCAUCCCCAAUCUUCCCUAAUCCUCCCACACUCUGUCUUUCCUCCUCCGGCGAUCGGUUUUGAGAAGGAAAAAAAAUAUUAUAUGAAAUAUAAAUAUCUAAAUUGAGCAUAGUUCAAAAGGCGAAAAGCGCCUCCAGCGACUGGUUUCAGGAAAUAUAUGUUAAAAAUACAUAUAUUCCUAUAAAUCUAUAAUUACCUAUAAAAUCUAUAAAAAAAUACAAAUAAAUAUAGAAGUAUAGGAGGUGAAGGUAUAAUAGCAUUUUUUUUUAAAUAAAAAAACGAGUUUCGGUCAAAGGGGAGAAGAGGGAAAGGGAUUUUCUAAAAUCUAGAGUUUUGGGGAAAGAGCAUUAAAAGAUUUUAAUUUAACUUAAAGACUAGGGGAAAAAACGAAAAUAGUUUAAGUAUUUUUUUAAAUACAUCCAAUCAGGUAAUCGGACGGAUCUUUACCCAACCUGAUAAACCGCCGUGGAAAAAGCGCUUCUCCAGGAGCGCUUUAACGCUUAAAGCAUCGCCUUCAAAACUAUGGAAUUGAGUAUUUAAAAAUAUCUGAAUUAAGUAUAUAAAUAUAUGAAAUUUAUAUAUUUUUAAAUUAUUCGCAUUAGGGCUGAGGCAUGCCUAAGCGGCAGUGCGUCAGGUCAUAGCGCAUAACGCAAUCACGCAUUUGAAAGCUUGGAGAAAAUGGUACUCCCUAAAGAUUAAGGGGGUCUAAGAGUCAGGAACCUACAUACAAUUGCCUUAGCUACCCAAACAAAAAAACGGCUACAAUCUGAGGGAAGCAAUCAAUCCUGACUGGCUGGAUGCAGAUAAAAUAAAUAAAAGGGAGAGGCUUACAGAAGUUCAUAAUCAAGCCUGCUAUUAACUCUGCUCAAUGGAAAGAAUUAAUUUAGUCCAAAAAUCUCAUCGAUCAGUGCUUGGAUUGUAGGGCAGGAAAUCCUAUUAUCUGGAAAAUAAGGAAUGGAAAACAAACCCUGGGAAUAAUCAUAGAAUCUCUAAUAACUAAGGCUCUUAAAGACACGAUAGCAAAAGGCAUCUGGUCCCACUCCCAUAUGCCUACAAAAUUUUCAAUCAUCCUGUGGAAAAUUAAAAAUAGGCAGAUUAAGACCUUGCAAAUGUUAAAUGCUUGGGGGAUCCCAAUCCAGCAACAUGUCUCCUCUGUGGCCAGGAAGUUGAGAUAAUUAGUCACUUGUUUUUCAAUUGAAAUUACACCAAACACCUCCUCUUAAAACUCAUAAAAUUCCUCAACCAAGCCAUACGGAAAAUAUCAAAUUCCCCACCCCCAACACUCACAAAUCCAGACAUUAGAAUCGAGGAUAUAAUCGAGGCUUGCCAAAAAAUGACUCAUCAAUCAUCUCCAUGGGGCCUCCAUUGGAAUACAAUUGGAAGCCUCAUUUGGCACAUUCGGUCCAAAGGGAACAGAAGGAUGCGUCAACAUACUCUCAGACCUCCAUAAAUACUAUUCUUGGAAAUCAUCAAAGACUCAAACCUAUUUUUUAGAGUUGGAUUCUUUAAAAAUGAUUGUGGUUGACAAAUGGAGAUGACUACUAUUCAGGUUUAGGAGACAAACCUCUCGAGGCUUAGCUUUUAGUUACUUGAUCACUAAGAACACAAGCCAUAUAGAAGAAGGUCGACAGUGUGGGAAACCACUCUAUCAUCCCCAUCAUAUUUUAUUUCUUGUUCACUUGUAAUUUCAGGGUAUUACCCUUCAUUAUUAUUAAUGAGAAAUAUUUAAUGCUUGCAAAAAAAAGGGAUCAGUGCCUCAAAGGAAGUUUGCUUCACAUUCACUUGUUACCAGGUAAACUAGAACCUUCCAAAAACAGGAAUAGAUACCGAGUUCUAAUACAUGACAAAAUACCCAAAUAAUCAAAUAUCAUAGUUUACCUCGGAAUCAGUUUCUUCUUCAUCUACAACCCAUCGAUCAUCUUCUUCAUCUAACCAUGUUUCCUCAGUAGAUAGAGCCCGAAUUUUACUAUUAUCAUUAUCCUUGGAUGCUUGAAUCAGGGUAUCCAUCAGAAUGGGAUCUACAUUUCUCAGAAGUCUCCCUAGAUUUUAUUAUGCAUCUCAGAUCUCACCAAAACUGAACAGCUAAAAAAUUUAGACAUGAUCUUACAUCUUACAAUCUAAGGGUUAAUAGAAUCGAAAUAGUGAAAUGAUAUGAAAUAAACACAUUAUUGCAAGGUAAAAUUGAAAUUUAAGUAGUUAUAGGUAGAUGUAAUCCUGGAUAGCUAAAUGUAUGAUAAAAAAUUGAGCAUCAAACUAAAUAACUAAUUGCAGUUUAAAAGUGCAAUUUGGUUAAUAUUUUCAAGGGAAUGAUACCACAACUCUUCAGACUAAGCUUGGAAUUUAAUAUCCAAUGACAUUAAAUGUGAUAGCGUUAAGAUGUCUGAUUCUGCAAACAUUUUAAAUCACGCUUGUAUACAUAUUUAAAAAUGAUAAAACCAUGAUGAAAUCUCUAAACAUGAAACUCGUGUAAGAUAGGUUAAUAAAAUGUUCGAAAACAAAUUAAUAGAAUCAAGCAUCAUAAUGGAUGACACUGACCAACCUAUAAAGGCAAACUGUCUCCUCUUCCCUUCUCGAACAUCAGCCCCUAAUCUCUGAUAAAAAAACGAAAAGAAAAUGAAAUAAAUAUUAUAAGGUGAAAAACAAUGACGUUAAAAUGAAAUAAAGAGAGAUGAUCAGAACCUUAACAAGUAAGAGGGCAUCAUAAACCUCUUUGUCAAGAUAAGCAACCCUACAUCUCAAAAUAAGAACAUUAUAUGAGAAGCUAAUUGUUAGGCUUGUUACUAGUUAUUUGAUUUCCUUUUUCCAUUGAGAUGUCCGUCUAAAUAGACUAAAAUGUCUGUACAAUACAUUAACUACAAUCAAGUUGAUUGUCUAUAGGUUACUAACAAUAUUUUAGAAUUCGUUCCGUUUCCACUAUAUCCAUUAGAAAUAUUGAAUAAAUAUCCAACCUUUUACAAAAUUCCACGCAAGAAAUUGUUAUCUUAUAUCCAUACAAACAGUAGUACUAGAAAAAGAAAAUAGUAAUACCUCAGAACUUUCUUGAUCUGAGAGGGAGUAAAAUCAGCGAGAUCCAUCGCCCAUUUCACCGCCUUUCGCGCCUCCCUCUUUUUCUGAUUCUUACUCUUCUUCUCAACCCUGUCCGAUUCCUCACCGGAAGAUCCGGAAUCGUCAACAUUUACGAUAGCCAAAGAAGCAUAACUAGCACCGUGUCCCCGAGUUCCCAAACUCUGCCGCCCGAACCGAUUUCUAGCAGAAAAACCAAACGUCGACGUCGCAUACAAUGAUAAUGAAACCCGUUGCUUGGGAGUUAUGGUGGAACGGCAGGAAUUGUGGAGCAGGGAAACGGUGCAGAUUGUGGAAGGAGAGUCGUGAGAUAUGAUUAGUGAGGUAGCAGCAGAAGAAGACUUCAAUAGACGUGACCACUGCCUCACUGGUGCCGUGGUCGCCGCCGCGACAGUGACAACGGCAACAGUCAUCGCGAUUUCAUUUCCCCAGAACGAAUGGGGGGAGAUAAAUCAUAAAUGGAUAAUGGAAUUUAGAAUGGGUAUGGGUCCGAUUUGGCUCGGUUUCUCGAAUUCAGGUUAAAUUAUAAAACCCGAAUCAAAUUUGGAUGUUGAUCUGAUCCGGGUUUGUUAAAUAAAUUUAAAAUUUUGUAUUAAAAUCUUUGUUAUUUAAAUUAUUUGAUUAAAUUAUUUUUAAAAUAUUAAAUAAGAUAAAACAUUAAAUAAUUUUUAAACGAAAAUAAAAAUGUUAAGAUAGUUAGAGAAUAUGACAAGGAGAGAAAAGAUAAAAAUGAAAGAGAAUAUACAGAGAAAUGAUAAUAAUAUUAUAGUUUAGAUUUUUUUUUUUUUUUUUAAAAUUAUUUAAUGUGUAUGUUAAAUUUUUAUUUUUAUUUUAAGGUUUUUUUUAUAAAUUUUUUUAGAUUUCGGGUGAGUCAGGUUUGGUUCAGGUAUUUUAUCCGAACCCGGGUCGAAAAAAUCAGAUGAAAAAAAUUCAAGUUUGGAUUCUUAAUAUCGAUUUUCAUAAUCGAAAAUAUCCACCUAAACCCAAAACCGACAUGUUAAUCGGGUUCGAAUUUGACUCAAACCAUGUUCACCCCAAAUGAAAUGGAAUGGAAUCGUUGUUAAAAGGGACAAUUCUAUUUCAGUCCCUGUCAGUUAGAUUAAUGGUAAAAAAUUCCAAAUCAAUUAAAGUGGCAAAAGACCCAACCUAAAAUAAAAAUUAACACGAACUUUAUCCAGUAACCUUAUAAUGAUUAUGAUCAAUUGGAGUUAUAUCUCAGCCUAACAUUUAUUUUGUCAUUUUUAGUUUUUACCAUACCAUGAAUUCAAUUCUUGUUGAAAAUAUUUUUUUAAAUGUAAAAUUAUCAAUACCAAUUGAAAUUUCUUGCUGUUUGCAAAAUUGCAAACCUCGAGAGCACAAUGUGUGAUAUCUGUACUAGGUGACCUACACGAUGAACCCGAUUGUGUUUUCGUGUAUUAAAAAUUUAUGUUCUACAGCUAUUCAAUUAGUAAGAAAAAGAAAAUAUAUAAAUCAAAAGUCGAAACAUACGUGCAAAGCUCUAACAUAUCAAGAAAUAAGUGAGACAGACAAAUACCCGCUUUAUUUUAUGGGCAUAAAUAACAGAUAUUGCAGACGUCCAUUCAAAAAUUGCUUUGGCUUUGAAGUUUGAAGGACAAAUAAAAAUUACCUAAAUGGAGAAACCAACAUCAUCCACUAAACGCAAAACAAAUAAACAAGUCAUAAAAUAAAGAUGGAUAAAGCUCGGUCAAAGUGUAAGUGGUCAAUUUACUUAAGGUCCACAGCUAGUUAUUACCUCGAGUUCUCUGCACAAGACAUAGAAGAAGAGAGAAGGCGCCCAUGUGAAAAAACAGAGCUUUCGAUUGGACAAAACUCACAAACAUUAAUCAUCAAUAUGGCAUUAAAAAUUUUAAACCAUAAUAUUGAACACGAUUUUCAAAAACGCCAAACAACAAUUAACAAAUGGAGAAGAUAGAUAUGUAGAUAUUAUGUUCCCAAGAAAAAAACAAAGACAAACAUGACCCACAACACACAGACAACAGAGAACGGAGUACAUUAAUUAUUAAUCAAGUAUUACACGGAUAAGAACAAUAAACACUGCCAGGUAAAUGUUAUUGAUUCUAGAUUCUUAAUAAAGAAUAAAACACAUUAUUUAUAAUGAAAUAUGAUAGUGCAGCGUCAAUAUUAAGCAAGAAAAAGAAAUGACAGAAUAAUAUCGAUAUAAAUAUAAGAGAAUAUAUUGUGAGAACAAUACUAAUAAUAAGUUUUUAACAGUGAGAGCUACAAGAGUUUCAACAAAAACAUGUAUAUGACAACCUUAUCACAACCUGUUCCCUUUCCCUUCCUUUCACUACUCCACUGCACGACCCGAUGAGACCCAAAAAAACAGAACAAACCACGAACCGACCGGUAAAACAGAGACAACCGGCGACGAUAUCAUAAGAAACGCAACUAAAAAACACUACCAGAUUCAAAAUAACAAAACGAUUAGAGUCCAUCGUUAAUAAAGAUAGAAAAUGAAGGCUUUACUUCAUAGCCGAACAUUCUCUGGCGAAAUGCCCUGGCUCUCCACAGUUAUAACAUGCACCACCUCCCCCACCACCUCCACCACCACCAUAUCGACCACCGCCUCCGCCUCCACCAUAACGUCCACCACCGCCGCCACCUGUAGGGCAUUCUCUAGCCAUAUGACCUUGUUCGCCACAGUUAUAACAACCACCGCCGCCGCCACCCCCGCCAUAACCUCCACCACCGCCACCGCCAUAACCACCACCGCCACCGUAACCACCUCCACCACCAUUUCUACCGCCGCCUCCGCUUCUGUAUCCUCCACCUCCACCAUAGCCUCCACCUCCUCCGCCAUAUCCGCCACCACCUCCGUAUCCACCACCACCUCCACCACGUCCACCGUCACCCUGAACCGAAGCACCAUCGGGACCAGUCACAUCAACGGCUUUGGUCCUUCCGUCAUCACCCGCGGAGACGACAAACUCAACAGACUCACCUUCGGCGAGCGAUCUGUAACCAUCAGACUUGAUAGAGGACUGAUGGACAAAGAGAUCCUCGGAUCCAUCUUCAGGAGUGAUGAAUCCAAAACCUUUGGUUCCAUUGAACCACUUAACAAUACCCUUCGAUCUCACCUCCGACAUGCCGAAACUUCACAAACCCUAAAACAAAGAAGGGAAAAAAGUCACAGGAAAGAGAGCAAGAGGCGCAGUGGGUCUCUGUCGUGGUGUGGAUGACUAUAUAUAUAGUUGUGGCAGGGUAGUAUGUUAGGCAUCGGUCGCCACAUCAGCAGGUAUACACAUUGGUUUUAGGUAAAAUAUCAGAUCUAACGGCUGGGGAUUUGCGUUGGGUAAGGAACAGGUUGCCGUUGGAUGUAUUAGGGUUACUGUUAUAAGCAAAAAUGGUCGGUCCUGGAUUUAUCUUAUGUUUUAAUCUUUUUUAAAAUACUUUUUUUUACAGUCAAAGAAAAAACUUGGCAGUUGACAGUUAACACUGCCGAAAUAUCGAGUGUUGAUAGGCCAUUAUUAAUUUUUUAUUAAGGAAAGUGUUAAAGUGGGAAAGGUUUUAUUCUCUGGAGAUUUUUUUUAUGGAAUAAAAAAAAUAAAGUUGUAUUUCUUUUCUGUUUUUCGACAUUGACAAUUAUGAAGUGAUGAUAUUGUUGAUUGAACGGUAAUUUUGAGUGAGUCUAUUUAUUUGGUUUACCUGCUAAUUACAGAAAUUGUAAUUUAGAUUUAGUUUUGAAGGUAAAGGAUAAGUUUUUAAGAAUGACUCAUUUUAAGACGGUCAAGAUGGGACCUAUCAAUUUUAUUGUUUAUUCCAUUAUGGAUAGCCCGUUCUUAACUGAUAUUAGGGGUGAUAUAACGGCCCUGGUAUCACUUGCACGGUAAGACGACCCAACUAAAAUUAUUUUAAAAAAUAAAUAAAAAUAAUAAUAAAACGGGACGACCCGUCUGGGGUUCACCCUGCACCUAGACUCGCCUCGGAAUAUGAUCGGGGUAACUGGGCAAAAUUUUAAAACAAGACAGAAUACCCUGGUUCUCACCCCUAACUAAUAUAUUUAUUUUAUUAUUUAAUGGUUUGACGUCAACUCAUCAAGUAAUUCAUAGGUUGAAUUAAGGGUGAGAACGAGACGGGUCGCCCCAGUCCCGUUUCGUGCCCCGGUGGUAACCGGGGACGAGACAGAUAUUUUGCCCAGUUACCCCCGGUCAUAUUCUGGGACGGGUCUCGUCGCCCUGAUUUUUUAAUAAAUUAAAUUAGAUAUAGGAUUAUUAAAAUUUUAUUACAUUUUAAAGAUUAAAUCUUAUUUCUUAAACCUUAUAUUCAUUUUAGAUUUACUUUUUGUUUUUACUUUUAAAAGUUAGGGUAAAAAGUUUAUUUAUUUUAAAUUUUAGGUUUAUUUUUUUAAUUCCAGGCGGGUCGUCCCGGAUCCGCCCUAUUCCACGUCCCGGUCGCCGGGUCCCGAGGCAAGGGAGUAGAAUACCUGACCCGUCCUGUUCCAUGCCCCGUUUUCCAGCACAGGGCGGAUACGCGAGCCGCCCCGUUCUCACCCUUAGGUUGAAUGUUUUAGAGAUACACUACCAGUUCCCUGAGGAGUGAACAUAACCAUUUGAGUUCAGUUGUGACGUACGCAUUCGCUCUGUACUCGGCCUUCGCACUCGACCGCGAGGCCGUCAGUUGUUUCUUCGACAUCCAGGCCACCGGAUUUGGUCCUAGGAAUACGCACGACCCUGUGGUGGGGCGUUUGUCAUCUGGAUCACCUACCCAGGCCGAGUCUACUAGAAUGUUUCAGUCUGUUGAUGGCGAUUUGGUGAAGAGCAGUCCGAAGUCCAUUGUUCUUUUGAUAUAGCGGAGGAUUCGUUUGGUCGUCUGCCAAUGGGUUGUCAUUGGUAUCUGCGUAAAUUUGCAGACCUGAUUGAUGGCAAACGCGAUAUCUGGCCAUGUGAUGCUCAGGUAUUGUAGUGCUCCGACCAAACUUCGAUAGAGACUUGGGUCUUGGAUAGGUGUUAAUCCAGAGUUAGCCGAUAGGUGUGAGCCUGGGAUGGACGGCAUGGACACAUGUUUCUGUUGGAUCGUGAUCUAAGGCUAGAGGGAGGGUUAAUAGCCUCUUUUCGAUUAAUGCAAAUUAUAGCGGAAGAUCUGCAAAAAUACUUAAAGAAUAUAAUAACAAAGGAUAACAAUAAUAAUAAUAAUAAUAAUAAUAUGAUAUUGUUAGCAAUAGUAUAUUAUUGUAUUUCAAAAAAUAUCAGUUAAGAACCCCUCUUUUGGGUUCUUACGUGAGAACUUAAUCUAUGCCUUUCGUUUUUUCGGACCAAUCCUCACCGUCCGUGAUUUACUUGUUGCAACAGGUCAUUCUUUCUCCAUUUUCUCAAUUAAUUUAUUCAAAUUUCAUUAAUGUUUCCUUCACUCACGUAACAUUCCAUUUAUGACAUUGUUUGAUUUGGAAUUUUUUUUUAAAAGCUGUCAACAUUUUCCAUUUCUACCUUUCUAUCAAACAUUCCAUUUUUGCAUCUCCUUUUUCAUUUUUUUCUCCUCGCGUUCUAUCUCCCUCCCCUGCCGGAUUUUUCCAGAUUUUCUUCCUCCGUCCCCCCUCCUUCCCUGUCAGAAUGUUUAUCGAUUUCUGCUUAUAAUUUAUUUUCUACCUCUACACUCUCUCUCUUUCCCUCCAUUUAAAAUUGUUUCCAUCUACCUCUUUUCUAAUUUUCUGUUGUUGAUUGCCAAAUCUCCCUCUACAAGAACUUUUCUUACAUUGAAUGCUUAUUUUCUUCCUCCAUAGCAUAUAAUGGUUUCUCCAACAUCAUUUGGCAAUCAACAUCGACCUACCAGCAUGCAAGUUUCCCCCAACACCAAUUCAAUUUUCGUGACCCCUCCUCCAUAUCGUUCACAACAGUUUACAUACGAUCACACAAAUACAUCUUGCAACGUUAGCUUGAAAUUUCAUUUUAAAUCUCCUCAAUGUCAGACAAAUGCCAAUACUAAACCUUCUAACGUUGAUUUUUCAACGCACUUGGAUCCUGAUGCCCCUUCUAGCAACAUUGUUCAGUCAGAUUUUGUCCAAUGCACCUCUGUUGAGAUUAAGGAAUCCUCCGCUAUUAUGAGUUACGGAACUGCUAAAAUACCAAAUAAUAUGAAUUACCAAUUCAAUUCUCCUCAUUGUCAGAACACUGUUAAUCCUAUAGAUUUCAGUGUCAAUGUUUCUCGUUUCUUGGAUCCUGAUAACGUAUGCAACAAUUUUUUUGAUUCAGAGUAUGUUCAAUCCGCCUCUGCUGAUAUCGGGGAAUCCUCUGUUUAAAUUUCUGCUAACUCCGUUAAUGUAAGUUGCAGAACUGCUAAAACCCCUGACAAUCAUUUAAAAAGAAAAUUUUCCUCUACUGGUGGAUAUCCAACAUCUCCUAAUCAUGAAAAUGGAUCUUCUGGUUACAGUCAAUCCAGUAAACCAUGUCCUAUUGUAGGUGAGGUUUUUCCUUCGUAUGAAAUGGUUGUUCAAUCCUACUACGAUUUCGCAUCGUCUACUGGAUUUUCUGUUCGUUUAGGAUCGACGAAGAAUAUAUUGGACAAAGAAACUGAUCAAAAAAUUCUUUUAAUGAAAAGGUUAUUGUGUUCUAAACAAGGCAGUCCCAAUUUAAUACUUCCAUCGACCCACGGUACUAGACGGAAGAACGGUGUUUUUAGAUGUGGUUACCUGGCAAGUAUCAAAUUUAAAAGAAUAGACAUGUCUGAUAAGUGGGUCACUGAUUCUGUAAAUUUAGAUCAUAAUCACUCAUUUACCACCCACUCAAAAAUUCGAUACCUUCCAAUAAAUCGGUCAAUAUCUCAUACUUCCAAAAUACUUUUUUCAUCCUUAGCUGAUGUUAAUGUUCCAGUAUCACAGCAAGCUGUCUAUUUCUCUAAUCAACUUGGUGGACCGGAAAAUAUGGGUUGCAUGACAUUGGACAUCAACAAUAUGGUUCGUGAUGAUCGCAUAGAUCUGAAAAAUUAUGACGUCCACUUGAUUGUAGAGGAAUUCGAAAUAAAGAAGUUAGAAAAUGCGCAAUUCUUUUAUGAUCUUGUAAAAGAUGAUGAAGGUCGUUUGAAACACCUCUUCUGGGCCGAUCCUACUAUGAUUGAAAAUUAUAAGUUAUUUGGAGACUCCAUUACUUUCGACACGACCUAUAAGACCAAUGUUUAUUCCAUGGUGUUCGGCAUGUUCUGCGGUGUCAAUCACCAUCGGAAGACUACAAUAUUCGGUAGUGUAUUUUUAAGGUAUUUCGUUCAUUCAUUGUAAUGAAUCCUUCUCAUUUUUGCUUCAUCUUUAAACCUUUAUUUUCGCAUUAAAUCAUUUUUUUUUGGUUUAUCUGUGCAGUAACGAAAACGUAGAUGUCUUUACAUGGCUAUUCAAUACUUUCAAACAAUGCAUGGGUCACCCUCCUCAAUUAAUUAUUACAGAUCAAGAUUUAACAAUGAAAGGUGCAAUAUCUCGUGCUUUUCCAGAAUUGUCAUUGACACAUAACCAACAAAUUGUCUACCAAGGUCCCCACAGUAUGUCAGAAUAUCAAUUCUCUAAACAUGUUCUACAAAAUUAUUAAAUUUUCAGAAACUCCUAAAGAUUUUGAAGACUCAUGGUCUCUUUGGAUCACAGAGAGUAAUGUGUCCUCAAAUGUAUGGUUGAAAAGUUUAUACGACAUCCGUUACUCAUGGAUUCCAUGUUUAAUGUGUUCACAUUUCUUUGUUGGAAUACAUUCUACCCAAAGAAGCGAAGGCAUGAAUUCUUUCCUUAAAACCAAAGUAACAGCUAAGAAUCUACUCUUUAGCUUCGUUCGGCGAUACCAAAAUAUGAUAAAUACCAUUCGCGAGUCCGAGAAUUUGGACAAUCACAAAGAUACAUUUUGGCACCCAAGAUUUAUUACAUCUAUGGACAUUGAGAAAAACGCUCUGAGUUUUUUUACAACUUCUAUUUUCCUUCUUUUUCAAGAGGAGAUGCGGAAAAGCUUCUUCUACCAUAUAUUACCACCGAAUGACCAGUCCUCCGAGGUACGGUUUUUUUUCUCAUCAUUGUUUUAAAAUUUCGUUUUCUUCCCAUCAAUGUCUUUCUAAAAAUUUUCUUCUUAAAUCGUAUAGGAUAUUCAAUAUCUACCUGUUCUUUCUUUAGAAAGACAGACUGUGUUAUUCAAACUCACUAUUACGAAAGGGAAUUCUACACCGACUUGCUCAUGUCAUCGAUUUGAAUUUAGCGGGGUUCCAUGCUCUCAUCUUAUACAUUAUCUUAUUGUCAACGGUUACCGUAGUUUACCAAACGUUUUAAAAAUGCCGAGGUGGAACAAACUAUGCCUGACGAACAGAAUUUCUCCAUCUCUUCCACCACCUGACAAUCCAUUGUCUAAGUAUGUUGUAAUGUCGUAGACAUUGAUGAAUUAUGCUAAAAUGGGACAACCUCAACUUGAUAUACUACUCAAAUAUGGUGAAGAGGUUCUUCAGAAACUCAGCGAAACUGUAGUUGUUCGAAAUUCAUAUUCUAGAACAUCAAUCAUAAGAACUAAAAAACCUAGGAAUACACCAGUGAUAAUUGCCCCUCCGCCCAAGGUUAAAACUAAGGAUAGUGGUAAGAGCGGAAGACCGACCAAAAUUGAUGCAGCGCGAAUGAAGAGCGCAAAAGAAAUAUAUCGCGAUCCAGCCGCUAGGAAGAAAUGAUCUGUCUUCUCUUCUUUUAUGUCUAUAACAAUUUAUUUUAUGAAUCAGAAACAUCCACAUUUUAAGCACUUAGUCGUUAUCCCUUUUCUCCGAACUUCCAUAAUAUCUAUUGUUCUUCCGCUAAUUUCUAAUGUUACUUAGGUAGUACACAUUGUGUUUCUGUUAAUAUGUAGUUUUGCUAUUAUGACUUUCUGUACUGAUAUAUUUUUGUGUGCUUCUGAUACCACUGUGUUUCACUACUUUGUUGUAUCCCUCCGCUAUUAUGGUGUUACGCUACCUUGUAGUAUACGUCCGCUAUUUUAACCACUUACGUCGUUAUCUCUUUUCUCCGAACUCCCAUAAUAUCUAUUGUUAUUCCGCUAAUAUCUAAUGUUACCUAGGUAAUGCAUAUUGUGCUUCUGCUAAUAUGUAUUUUUGCUAUUAUGACUUUUUGUACUGAAAUGUUUUAGUGUGCUUCUGAUACCACUGUGUUUCGCUACUUUGUUGUAUGCCUCCACUAUUACUGUGUUACGCUACCUUGUAGUAUGCGUCCGCUAUUACAGUAUUACACUACUACGUAGUAUGCCUCCGCUAUUACGGUAUAACGUUACUAUGUAGUCUGUCUCUGCUAUUACGGCAUUACGCUACUUUGUAGUAUAACUUCGCUAUUACUGUGUUACGCUACUUUUUAGUAUUCCUCUGCUAUUACUGUGUGACGCUACUAUGUUGUGUGCCUCCGCUAUUACGUGAUUACGCUAUUAUGUUGUCUGCCUCCGCUUUUACGGUCUUACCUGACAAUCCAUUACUGUGUUACGCUACUAUGUUGUGUGCCUCUUCUAUUACUGUGUUACGCUAUUAUGUGAUGUGCCUCUGCAAUUACGGUGUUACGCUAUUAUGUAGUACUAUUACGUUGUUACGCUACUAUGUACUAUAACUCUGCUAUCACGUUUACCCUACUUUGUAGUAUGCCCCUGAUAUUAUUGUGUUACGCUACUUAAUAGUAUGCAUCCGCUAUUACGUUCUUACGCUACUUCGUAUUAUGCUUACGCUAAUAUUGUGUCACGCUACUAUGUAGUCUGCCUCUGCUAUUACGGUGUUACGCUACUAUGUAGUAUGCCUCUGUAUUGCUGUGUUACGCUACUUUAUAGUGUGCCUCUGCUGGUACGGUGUUACGCUACUCAGUAGUAGGCCUCCGUUGUUACGUUACUAUUUAGUACAACUCUUCUAUUACGGUUACGUUACUAUGAAGUAUGCCUCCGUUUUUACGUUCAUACGCUACUAUAUAGUAUAACUCUGCUAUUACGGUUACACUAUUAUGUUGUAUGUCUCCGCUAUUACGGUGUUACUACGCUACUAUAUAGUGUGCAUCUGUUAAUAUUGUCUGGUAUACUUCUUCUAUUAUGUAAUGCGUUUCUGCUAAUAUCUGCACUUAGCCCAACACGCUUUUAUCUUUCUGCCAAUAAUUUCUGUUUUAAUCAUUCUUUCGAUACAUCUGUUUCAAUGUGUCACAAGCAUUGUAUAAGCAAACAAUAUGUUUAAUUUUUGCAAAAAGUAUAUGAGUACUUAGACUAAUAAUUGUACUUGAAACUGUAAUUGUUAAAUAUGUGAGAGUCUCGCAACGCCACUCGCAGUAUGUUGUGGACAAUUUUUUCCCUAAUGUUGUCGACGUCUUUUUUGCUCCAAAGUACAGGUUCACCAAGACAUAUGCAUUCCAUGACGGCCAUUACGUAUAUCUCUAUAUCUUCUGGAUUUUUAAUGAAUGCCUGCGGAAAAUAUGGAGCUGAUUCACAAACCCAGGUAGACAAGUUGUGGUCUGAAUAAAUUCCACGGAUGUAGUGAUCCAACCACAGAGUCUGCAAAUUAAAUUACAAAGUAGCAUUAAAUUCUUACACAGUUUGAUUUCAAAGAUUUAUCAACCACGUGUUUAUUCACUUACUAUAUUCUUGUUCUGCUUGAUCAUGUCCUCGUUGUCUUCGUAGGGAGAACAGUGGAUGUACUUCUUCUUUGUUAUGUCUAACUGUAUCAAAUGUCAAUAACCGUAUAUUUCAAUGAACGCUAAUAUUGUAUGGAUCAUUUUCCAUUUGUCUACUUUUUCACUUAAAAUUUCAUUCAGCUCGGCAAAUUCCCUCAUGUUCAAGUUUUUGUUUAGAGUUAUCCCUUUGAUUUUUUUCUAUGUAAAAGAAAAACCUAAGUCAUGCAUGAAAUAGUAUUUAUAUUCAAAGGUUAUAUUAACAAAAAAAUAUUACCAUUUUUAUUGGGUCAAUGAAUUUGACUGAAUGUGCGAAUAAUCUGCGAUCUGCCAUUUUACGGCGGAGAACUCUUAUGAACAUUGAGAUGCACUGGAAAUACGAACAUUCAUAUUAUUGUUUUUUUUAAUAAUUAUAUCUGAAAUUCUUUUUACUUACGUGGCUUCGUACGGGAGCCCUGGCGAGUAAUCCAAUUACCCACGUAGAAUCACAUCUAACGUUACCUAUUUCCAACAGACCCUCUUUUGCUGCAAUUUCUUGUAAUUUACAACUCUCCUUAACGUCCCGUACAUUCAUCCCAGCCCUGGUAAUGUGGUUCUUCUACAUCUUCUCUUUUAUUAUCCUUUCCAUAUUAGCCUUCUUCACGUCUUCCUGUAGCAUUGAUUAUUAAUUUUGGUUGAAGACCAACGUAUUUAGAAUUUAGGUCGAAGAAUAAUGAAACUUACAUGUCUUUCUAUGAUCCUUUUGACAAGAGAACUAGGUUUGUUUUUGUUCAUCUGUACGGAGAUUGGUUCAUUAUCCAACCUAUCUUCUUCUGAAGACAGAUCGAUGAUCUUCGUUGGUGUACUAAAAAUUGAUUCGUUUUCCGGUUGACCAUAUGCUCGAGACGUUAGGCGACAAGCCUCCUUUAUAAAUGUAGGGUCCUCUUGAGAAGACAUAACAAAGUCCGACACAAUUCUUUUAGCACCUACAAGAAUUUUUCAGAGCACAUAAGCUAUAUUCAUUGUUAUUUUGCUUAGUUGUUAUGGACAUUACCGCUAGUCGAAGGUAUAUUCUCAUGCUCAUUCACAACUUCUGGUGCAUCCAUAUCCAAAUCCGGAAAGUCAAAAGAUAGCUUGAUAGAUGAACCUACAUAAGGCUUCCUUGUAUUGAAAGUAUCUGAAUACAAACAAAAUUAUUGUUAGUUUUUAGUUCCCUUUAGUCUGAAAAAUUGAAAUACAAAUAAUACCAUCAUCAGUUAGGUCUAUGGGAUUCUCCGUGAAGUCCUCUGUAUAAUCCCAUACACUUUCACUCUUAACUUUUACAAACUUAUACUCAGAUAUUAUCGGAUUUGAAUAUAAAUAUUCUACCUCCUCCGAACUCUCGCUUUCAUCUCCGCUAACUACAUUUCUUGAUAUUAUUAUUAAUAUUCCUAAAGAAGGACUACAAAUACUAACUUUACGUAAUGUACACUACUUGUAAAAAUUUAUGUUUACCUUCGAUAAUUAGCAUAUCUUUCUCAUUUUCGUCUGACGAUACUUUUUCUUUUAUUUUCUUAUCAGUGACUACAACAUCUGGAGAAAAAAAAAAUUCAUGUUCGUGUUAGAUACUUCGUUACGUAUGUAGUCAUGCAGAAAAAUAUUUUUCGAUUUAAACAUUUUCGUGUAAUACAAUUAUAAGACAAUGUUCAAUAAUUAACAGUACGAUGUAUCACAUUAUCAUACUGACAUGUCAUUUUAACAGACUAUAGUAGAAUACUAUCAAUUAUAGGAUGUAGUUCAUAUAAUAGCAGAACGCUUAUUAAUUUUAACAUUGACAGAUCUUGAAUUUAGAGAUUACCUUAAAUAACAUAACCUGCUAUUCAAUAAUUUCAAACAUUUCACAUGAAUUGGAAAACAUUUUUCAACAAGAACAAUUGUAUUAUAUCAAAUGAUUAUCGUAAUAUCAUACUAUUAGAAUAUUGUAGCAGAGAGUAGUAUUUGUAAUAGCGGGCAUGCACUUGUUUGUCAUGCAUAUUUCUUCCGCACAUGAUUUUCUAAUUUUUUUUUGUUUUUCGUUCAUUAUCAUUUCUUGUCAUCUUGCGCCGCGUACCUUCAACGGUCUUCACCUCUGCGGCACUAGUAGUGUUUUUCGCUCCGUUCUUCUCCUCCACUUUUUGCCCUGUCUUUAUGUUUUCAUCUGCAAAAAUUAAUUCUCCAUUAAACUAAGUUUUCAGUGUCAUUCACUAGAAUUUAAUUGCCAAAAAAAUAUUUCAUACCUACUAUGUACAAUACCAGGAUACAAUCCUCUUUCUAUUUCCCAUGCUUCGUAGAACUCUUGUUUGACUUGAAUAGUAGCCUUUUCUUUAUAUGGUGGCUUGUGGCCAACGUAAGUCACCUCACAAUCUUCAUUACGGGUGUCGGGCAUUCUUGGCUGAAGUUCAUAUUAAAUGUUGGGAAUUCGAAAUUUGGAUCUUCUAUUGUACUAGACUUCUUUUCAGCAUCUUCAACUGUCUCAUCAGCACAUUUUUUAUCCAUAUCAGACUUUCUUUCAUUUUCAUUUUGUUCGGAGGCCGCCGCUUGGCUUGGUUCGUCAGUUCCAACAUUUGAAAAAAUAUUAGCACAACCUUGAACUUCUUUAGCAGGACUAUCUUCUUUGAUAUCAGACUUAGACCUAUCUUCAGCAUUACUUUUUUCUUCAAUAUCAGACAUAGGUCUACCUUUAGCAGGAAUGUCAGUAAUAGGCAGAUGUUCAUUUCCAACUUCUGUCGCUUCGCUUGUUUGAGCAUUUUUGGCCUCAUCCAUCUCACCUGUAUUGUUCUUCAUAUUUAAUGUAACUUCAACCGGAUCUUCAACUAGCUGAAGCUUCUUGUUGCUCACCUCCAUAACUAUAACAUAUUUUUCAAGCAAUUUCUUAUUGUUUUCCUCUAAAUAUGAAAUUUAUGAUUAGAGAAAAUGUAAAAAAUAUAAUCAUUUUCACUAAUUAGAUAUACUUACUAUCAGGAGAAAUUCCAGAUGAUGUCCCACUAGUGGUCGACAGCCUACUGCUACGUCGUAAUGUGACUGACUCCUUCAUUGGUUUCUUUUUCUUUGGCUUCACAGAUUUCUUCGCAUUGACAUUUGUACCAAAUAUUUCCUCGUACUUAGCUUCAACCUCAGCCUUCUGUUUCUCUCUUCUAUCAAGUACGAUGUUCAUUCGCCCAGUAGAAUGCCGUGUUAAUGUCUUUUUCUUAGAAUCAUCCAUCAUUACAACUUUCCCUUUCAACCUCCUCCUUUUGGCAGAUUCUUCUGAUUCGCUCUCUUCCGACCUAACUUCCUCUUCAACCGAUUUCGACUGUGAGUCAGUACCAUGAUUUCCAGUUGAUGAACUAGAACCAGUUCCUGAAAUAGGAUAUGCUUUUUGUCUUAUAUUCAAUCUCUUUUCAAAAGAAAUAUCCUCAACAAAAAUCUAAGAAAUGAAGCAUAUUAAAUUAAAAAAUUAUUCAGAAAUUCACUAAACGGUUUAAUCAUGAUAAACAUGUAUCUAUACUAGUUACUUGUUCGGGAAAUAUCAAAAUAUUAAAUUAUGUACAAGAGACUAAGAUAACAAUAACUUACCUCAUCAUCUUCUAGAAGGUCUAGCUUUUCUUUCAAGUAAGUAAUUGGACCUCCCCACUUCAUGUCAUUGGUUUGUUAUCGAUAUAGGCACUGUAUGGAGACGCAACCAUCGUGUGUUUGAACAACCAAACCUGAAAAGAAAACAUUUAUCAAAUUUUGGUCAAUUAUUAACAUUUAUUAACAAUAUUGACAAGUAGAAAUUUUUGUUCAAUAUAUACCAUUAGGCACAUGACGCAGCCAUCUAUGUAGAGUUUCGAUGGCUCGUUUGUUUGUUUCCUGUGUACGACGCUGUCCCUGCACAUCUCCAUACGCUCGAAGAGCACACCGUGUAGGAAUGCAGCCCAAUUAUACUCGUCAAAAUAUACUAUGUUAGAAACAUAAUCCAAGAAUUUCCGCCCAAUGCGGUAACUGUUCUUACAACAAAGUACUGUAAUAAAUAAAUAAAUUGUCCAUAAUCUAAUCAAAUCAUCUACAUCAGUCUUUGACAAGGUUUCAAUCGAGGCCUUCUUGUUGAUUGUUGUAAUGGCCUGGACCACCACAUUCCUUCUAAUGUCACAAUCUGAACUAAAAUGUCUCAAGGAUCAAUCAGAACUACUCUUGGCCUUCUUCAUUAUCACGACAAGACCCGAUGAAGGAAUGCCGAGGAUUUCCCCAAACUCUUUCACCGAAAAUUCUAGCCUUUUACCAUUAAUAACAAAAAUAUUUUUUCCGACAUACCUUCCUAUUAGAUCGUCUAGUAGACGAGCCCUGAUUUUGAAAUCAGGGAUAGCAAAAAACUGACCGAAACAGCAUGACUUUAUUCAUUUACUUACAGUAUCGGGAAACAGUAAUAAUCCGGUGAGCGCAGCAUCUAUGUAGGUGGGUAUUCUAAAUCGAUGACGAAUCAAGUGGUUUACUAUAUUUUCCAUAAAUAAAUCGAAUUAGCAACUAUUAACUACUCAUAUAAUAACUUCAAAAUAUAUAAUGCUUAACUGUUCGCCUCCUCACGAUCACCCUUGCUAAUCCUUGCUUUCUUUUGCCUCGAUCUUCACUUGUGGUCUUUCAUCAGAAGAAGAUGGCAUCUUUUCAGAUACAUGAUGCUUUGUAGCAGACCUAGAACUCUUCUUCGUCCUAGACAUGGUUUCCCUUUCUCUGAUAAUCUGUCCCUUCUUAUCGUUCCGUAAUUCUUCUCUUUUAUCAGAAGAUUCAGACAAGUUAUCAGAAAAACAUAUUUUUUUAGCAGCAGAUUUCCCUAUCUUGAUCUUCGCAGAACCUUUCUUCUUAUUAUAGGAUUCCUUUGAAAUUUUAGCAGGCUCCAAUUCUUCUUCUUCGUGUUCAUCGACGUCUUUAACUACCGUCACUUUCUUCUUCCUAACAGCUUUAGUCUUCCUCUUUAUCCUUGAUUGGGACACGACGACAUCAGAAGGAUUUCUCUUUGCGUUUAUUCUCUUGCGAUCUUCCGCCAUCACCUUUCGCAAUGUCGAUUCGAAGUUCAUUUCCUUCUUCUUUGUUGAUUUCUCGUGAUUUUCACCUAAAAUAUAUAUAUAUUCCCAUCGUCAUACUUAGCAACCACUAGACAAAUAUUCUAAAAUCUAAACAUGUACUUACUUCGCUUCCUCUUGGAAAGAAUGAAUUGAUUUACAUCGGGUGAAGACUCCCUCUCUGUAUUCGACAAAGAGCAGUCGAUGUCCUUAAUUAGACUCUCUACCACGUUUUUCGCUCACUCGACAUCGCCCACUGCAUUUUUACACAAUUAUAAAAAAUUCCAACAUAUGUAAUCAUCAUCAAAAAUAGAUUUACCCGUAGAUUCAUUCUUUUUCGUUACUUUUUCCUUAUCAGACGACAUCAAUGACACUACAAAAAAAAAUUAUAGCAGUACAUAUACAUUUGUUAGCAGAGAGGGAUAUUCCUUCUAAAAAACAUGAAACAGAUGAUGAUAUUUUUAAAACUUAACAACAAUGUAUACAUAGAACUUAAAGACAAAGAAAAUAUAUAAUGACACCAAUGAAUCACUAACGAAAAAAAUAAAUAGAAAAACAGAAAUGAAAUAAAAAUAGACAAGAAAAAGAGAUACAACAAGACAAAAAUUAUAGCAGUACAUACACAUUUGUUAGCAGAGAGGGAUAUUCCUUCUACAAAACAUGAAACAGAUAUUGAUAAUGUCAAAACUUAACAACAAUGUGUACAUAGAAAUUAAAGACAAAAAACAGAUAUAAUCAAACCAAAGAAUCACUAUCGAAAAAUAUUAAUAGAAAAACAGAAAUGAAAUUAAAAUAGACAAGAAAAAAAGAUAGAACCUUUAGUCCACGCUACCUGUAGGAGAAAAACCAAAAUACACAACAACCACAUAAAAUUUUAAAUCUAGCAAGAUCUAAUAUAUAUAUUGGAAGACCUAGAUUUGCAAUGUAACUGCAAACAUCUAUUGGGGGAUGUUUUUGAUGACAUUACAAGUGUCGUCUAAACAACGUUUGGUUUUAGAUAUUCAACCAAAAAAAUUUAAGAAAAAUAAAUUGACAUAGUCAUACUAGGUUUCGAAAUCAUUUCGCAUUAAAAAAAACAAAAUUAGUCGACUAAUAGGAAGAUAGCGUCGGAGAUGGGUCCUUAACUAACCUACCGUCGGAGACUGCUGACGUACAGCGAGAGGAGAGACGCGAGAUGACACUGCCACCAGACAGCGUGCUGAGGACGAAACCGGGCAGCGAGAUGUGGAAGGAGAGGACUGCGAUAGUGUACGAGCCUACAGCGAAACGAGUGACGUCGAUCGUUGAAAAAAAUCGAAAGAAGAAGACGACGAUUUCCGGCCGGCAAUAGCUUGGGCAAUCGUCCGAAGAAGGGUUUAGGAGGUUUGGAGGGAUGGAACAAAAUUGGAAUGUUUGUUUUUGGAAACAAAUUUUAAUUUUGUCUUCUAGUACAUGCAAUCAAAGCUACUUCCUAGGCACAUUAAUGUACGGUAGUACUUUCCAAAAAUACAAUAAGCUAUUUAAAAUUUUUAAAUUACUACCCAGCCGGUUGCAGCAACCUAUUACAGCUUCAGCAGGUUUGUUGUUUUAAAAUUAGACGGCCAAGAUUGGUCCUAAAAAAGGACGAAUGAGAUGAAGAGGGGUUCUCAUGAGAACCCUUCUUAACUGAUAUACACCUUAUUGUAUUUUAUAAUAUACCGAAAUGACUUUUCUUUUAAAAUUUUCUAUAGUAUAUAAAUACUAAGUCAACUUAUCAGAUAAUAUUUUAUAAACAACUAUAGUAUAUAAAUACUAAGUUGUAUUAUAAACAUACGUUAUAUUAUACGUUAAAAUAUAUUAUAGAUGGUCAGUUAACUGGAUAAAGACUUUAACUUGAGUAAUAGUACUUUAUAAGCUAACUAUAGUAUAUGAAUAUCAAGUUCUCUUAUAAGCACAAAAGUUAUAAUAUAAGUUAAAGUAAAUAAAUAUAUAAAGAUAACUGGAUAAUAAAUUUGACUUAAAGUAACCUCAUGUAAUGACUAGAUAAUUGAAUGAGGGUUCUGCAAUAAAAUAGUCAACCUCGGUUUGUGACCAGAUAACUGGAUGAGGGAUCUCUUUGUUUCUUUUUAACUUAUUAAAAUAUAAAGAUUAGAAAACGAAAAUAAAAAUAAAAAGGAACACAAAGAAUUUAUAUUGGUUCAGUCUCAACCGACCUACAUCCAGUCUCGUGAUGUAGCCUCAUGAAAUUCACUUGUCUAGAGGUAUUGGCAAAAUCUAUCAGAGCUUUUACUAGGCUACAACGCUCAAGAACCUUGAAUCAUUUGCAAGUAGAUUCUAAAGGAAUUAGAGAGUUAAUUUCCCUAUACUAUGCAGGCAAAUAACCAUCUGUUUAGGACUUAAAACUAAUUAGCUAUUCAAGUAUACUAUGCAGGCAAAUAACCCAAGACUAGCGUGAGAUAUAAUAAAGGAACUUGAAGUUGCUAAUGCAAAAGUUUCAAUGAAGUUAUAAUCAAAUAUUAUCAUGAAAGCUUGGGAUAGAAGAUGCAAAAGUUUCAAAUAACAAUUGGGCUAAUUGACAAUUGGGCUUUAUGAUGGGCCAAAGUUAAUAAUAUUAGUAUUGUUAUUAUUGUUAAAGAUUAGUUAAAUGAUUAGCCUAAUUAUGUUAUAAAUAACCUUGUAAACAGAGAGUUAAUUAAUUGAAAUUACUCAUUGACUGAUUAGCUAGUUAAUUCUACUCUAAUCUUCUUCCAACGGAUUCUAGGAGAACGGUUAGUUCGAAGAACCCUAAAUCCGCCCCCCUUUCUUCACAUUAUCUUGCGAAGAUUGAUUGCAGACUGAAUCCGUCAGCCCCAAUCAAAUUCACUUCUGAGAAGCAUCCGUGCACCAUAUUCUAACAGAUUCCACAUAAGAGUUUUACCAGGAAACUCUAUAAAACCAACCAGAGCUUUUACUAGGCUACAACACUCAAGAAUCUUGAAUCUUUUUUACAGGUAGAUUCCACCUAAAAGUUUUACCAAAAAACUCUAUAUAACCAACCUUGAAUCUUUGCAGGUAGAUUCAACCUAAGAGUUUUACCAGGAAACUCUAUAAAAUCAACUUAGAGCCUUUUGGUUCAGCUCAAUAACCUCACACCUUGGUGAUGUUGAGAACAACCUAACUCGCACAACCAAAGUGGAACACACACGAAAAUGAUGUAAAAGUUUUGGACAACACUUCUACUUAACUUGGAUCACUUAAGAAGAUUAGAAGAAGAAAUGUAGAACUUUUUGAAACUUUGAGCAAAGAGCACUUGGACACAACCUUGGACGUUGGAAGUUUGAAAGCUUUGAAGGUGGUGAACUUGAGAGUGGAAAGGUGGAACUCAAAGUAGGAAUUUUGAAAGCUCUUGAAGUGUGGUAAUUAGUUUUGGCAAUGGGUAUACCCCUUUAUUUAUAAUGUUGGCCAACUCAUCUCCAUCAUUGGAUCUUGAUUAAAUGGUUCCAUGAUUCCUCACUAGAAUCCAAAAUGUGUUGGAGAUUUUUUCUUUCUUCAAUAAAACAAACUCUUGCAUUGAUAAAUCUUGCUCUUGUCUCCAAGAUGCAUAUUCUCAUCCCAUGUGAUAUCUUUGCCUAAGAAAAACACAUUUUCUUAUCCCAUGUGAGCAACCUAUUUCCUUAAUCAAAAAUAUUAAUUCAAACAUAAUCAAGGUUAAGUAAAUUAAUAAUAAUCACAUGGUAAGAAGUGUUGACAUGUUGACCACGAAUUAGGGUUUUGACUUUUGACUUAAUUUACACAUGGUUAAAUAAUUCUAGGGUUUAAUAUAAGCCUAAUUGAGAUUAGGUUUAAUUUAAAAUCAAAUCACCCUAUUAAGUAGUAAAGUCAAGAUGUUGACUUGUUGACCCUAAAUCGACUUUGGACUUUGUUUAAAAAUGGUCAACCAAUUCUAAGGUUUAAUAUGACAUAAUUGAGAUUAGGUUCAAUUCAAAAUAGCAAUUCACUCUGUUGACUAAUAACACGAUUAGGGUUAAUUAAACAUGAUUAUCAAUACAAACUAUGUAUCGGCAAUUUAGAUUCUACAGUUUCGACUCUGUCAUUUUGAACCUAUUAAGAAGAUCCAGUGAGUAUACUUCCUCUGCGUAAUUUUGGUGGACGUCGUUGUAGCCUUCAUCUCCCCAGUCUUAAGAAGUACGACAAUUGUCCCAAGUCUCUGCAUGGAAAAUGCUUGCAGACGGAGUCGAUGAAUUGUCUCACCUCUGUUUCACAGUCCCCUAUGAUGAUGAAGUCGUCAACGUAGAUGAGCACGUAGAUGACUCGCCCCCGAUAUCGUCUAAUGAACAAAGACGAGUCUGCUGUGGAGUUGAAGAAUUUGCAUCCCUGUAGGAACUCUUUCAAUCAUUGGUACCGGGCCCUUGGUGCCUGCUUCAUGUCGUAGAUCGCCUUCUGCAAACAGCAUACGUAUGAUUUGGCCGUUGUGGACUUCAUCGUAAACCCUGGGGGUUGCUCCAUGAAAACCGUCUCCAUUAAAUUUUCGUUUAGGAAUGCAUUGCAGAUGUCAAGAUGAUGAAGUUUCCACUGUCUCGAUGUUGCUAAUGCCAGAAUUGUCUGUAUGGUGGUCGACUUCACCACCAGACUGUAGGUGAGGUCGUAGUCCUCCCCGUGCUUUUGGUGAAACCCUUUGGCUACGAGACAAGCUUUAUAUCUGUCAAGUGUGCCAUCGAAGUUUUGCUUUAUCGGAACACCUAUCUGGAGCCAACGACAUUCAUCCACUGUUGUCGCGGAACGAGUCUCCAUGUAUUGUUAAUUUCCAGAGCUUCGAUUUCUUCUUUCAUUGCGAUUGUCCACGACGAGCUGGUUAACACUUCUUUGAUGGAGGUAGGUUCAGUUCCUCCGGUUAUCGACAGAUUGCAGGUGGGUGCGAUUGUCCGAUGAGCUGGAUUGGUGACGAAUGACUUAUGUUUCCGCACAUUCAGGGUAUGUGAUUGACUUGUCUGACCCACGUGUUCGAUUAGUCGCUCCAUCUAUUCGUGAUUUGGGGAACCCGAUCGAGUAUCGCUCUGCGGAUCCAUUCUUAAUUUGGGCAACCCGAUUUCAGAGUAGUUGGGGGACUCAGUUGUGUUUGAUUUCACAAUGGUAGCAGACAGAUUUUGACGCUCUGUGUUGAAUCCAGUAAUUUUUUCUCCCGAAGGCUAAUUUUAAAUUAUUUAACCAAAUUCAAUUUUUUUUCAAUCCAAUUAUUCUCGAUGAGGUGCCAUAUUUUGGUAUCGAUACAUAAUAUCGUCAUUACUAACACUAGAAAAUAAAUUUUUUUCAACAUAUAUUAUUAAAAUAUCAUUCAACCAAGCAUCAUCCAUAGGAUUGCAAGAUUGUGAUAUCUAUUAUCUCUCCCAACAUGUUGUGUUGUCUCAAAUAUUCUGAUUUUUCCAUUUAGAAAAAUCUCUAGCUGCAAAACAUGAUCAAUCCAAAAGGAAAAACAACAUUAAUGAUUAAAAAAAAUCAAUUAAGUUAUAAGGAAAUCAAUAAAUAAAUUUUACUCUUAAGUAAAAGCAAUUUCAUUUGUUUACAGGAAUAAAUAACAAAAUAAACAGAAAACGACGUCUUUUGAAAUACUAUAUUCAAUCCAUGAUUCAUAUUCGUCAAAUCAUAAUACACAAAAUCUUAUAGAUUGAUUUUUAAUCCUCUUCAAUGAAAAUUCAUGUUGGCGUGGUUGACAAAGUUUCUUUUGCAAAUAAUAUCUUCUUAUUUGAUCUUAGGCAUUUGGAUGGUAGUCAUUUAUCUUUUUUCGCAAUCUCGGAUCGGAAAAUAACUUACUUAUAUCGAGUGACUCUCUAGAUGGUUAUAGAUUGGAUGAUGAAGUUGAAAUUGAUUGAUUUAUUUUAGGUCUUUUGAUCAAAAAUCUAUCCAUUGAUUAUCUAUGUAAAAAAAAUGAUCUAAAUUAAUAACAAAUUUAAAAAUAAGAAAUGUGGAUAAAAAAUACAUUUAUUCUUUUUCUUUGUAUGGAGGAAUGGUCACGAACUCACAUGAAAUGGAAAAAAAAAAUCAAAAAUUAAAUGAAUAGUGUGAAGAUGGAGAAAGAGGGAAAAAACGAAAUUUCUAAAUCCUUAGAUAUAGAUGGACAGUUAUGGAAAAUUAAAAUAAAUACAGUAAUAAAAUAAUUAUUAAUAAAAUAAUGAUUUAUAAACAAAUAUUUAGUAAUAUUUUUUAUAUAAAAAUAAAAUAUAUUAUUACAAUAAUAUAUUUUAUUGGACUACCAUGACUAUUUUUUAUUUUUUUGGUUGGGAAGCUCAAGUCUCUCCAAGCUCCUUCUACGCAUUCGCUAUAUCUCAUCGAUAGUCUUGUCGCCACGCCAUAUAUAUGAAGUCAAGAUCUUAACUUCAGAAGAGAUAUAUAUAGACGGCACGAUUUUGGGACGGCCGGUUUUGGUAACGGUCCUUUUUGCGGGCAGUCGAUCCGGCCGUCCGUUUGCUCGCUCACUCGCAUCCGUUCAUUAGUCUCAUGCCUACUCCGACGUGCGAUGCGACAGGCGCCAUGCCUGCGCGUGAAAUCGUCCUCCUAACCGCCCAUACCGCGUACUGUUUCACUCGUACGAUGUCGUUGUCCACUGUCCUCGUUAUCACUCUCUUCCCCAAUUCUUCGAUAUCAUUCGACGACCAACGACUGACUGUGGAAACUCAAAAUCACUUUCCAUUUCUUCAUUCGCUACGACUAUUACUCCUUCUUAUUGACACCAUUUCUUUUGCAAAUCGAAGGUCUUUCGCUAUACCUUUGGUUUUUGCUGCCUUCGGGUUUCCUAUUAAGGGCGGGCUAGUUAUCUUAUCUUCAAAUCUGGUAAUUGAUCUCGAAUUUGAUUGCUGGAUAGUGGUCGAAUGCAUAUCUUCAAAUUCUUUUAAGAUUCCAUCCAUUCGUGAAAUUAUCUCAUCUUCUAUUUCGGCAUGGUUUGUAAUCAUUCUCGCGCAUCUAUUGAAAAUUGUUGUAAGGGCGUUACCUGAAGAUGUUUGAAUAGAUUCUCUCUGGUUUACCGUUUUUUUCCCGUCAUUUUCCAACGAUCACAAAUCAAAUCCACCGGUAAUUCAGUCCGCCCAUUUGAAGUCAAGAAACAAAUUAUAUGGCGGCAUGGAAUCGCUUUGCUAGAGAAUAGAUAACUGCUACAUGAAGGCGUUUCAAUCGAUUGACCGCAUGUUAUUUUUGGAGACUCAAUUUGAGAGUAUAUCCCUAUGACCAUGUGGACAUUCAUAUCCUGUUCAAAGAAAGCAUAGAAAUUUUAAAAAUAAAAGUAGUUGAAAUAAAUUAUAUUUCAAUUUUUGGGAGUCUUACAUUCGGAUUUACUCGGACGUAAUAGCAUACACUCUUCUGUACCUGUUGCUGGUAGAGUAAAAAAACCUCUGUUGUAUAAACCGAUAGCAAACAUUUUUCUAUUUUCAGUUGGGUAAUUAGUAAUGGGGGUGCAUCUCUGUCUCUGUGGUCAAGUUCUUCCAAUCUGUUGCAUUGUGCUUUCAACACUACUUCAAGUGAGCAAACGAAUUCGAACAAUGUAGAUGACCUUUUGACAUUUAACUUCACUAGUGAAUUCAUCCCCUCACUUCUUUGCGUGCUCUGUAUUCCACCAAAGAAGUGUUUGGUCAUGUAUAUUGGACACCAUUGUGCUCGUACAUGUCUCCCAACCACUUGUGUUCUUUAAGUUUAUUGUCCUCUAUCCAUGAUUGCCAAUUUUUCUCAAAGACCUCGAUAUUCUCGGAUAUGUUUAGGAUUUUGUUGAAUCUCUCCAUCUUCUCCUUAUUUCUGUAUAUAGCUACCUUGUCACACAUCUUGUGUGUAAUGUGCCACUUGCAUAGCCGAUGAAACGCAUUCGAAAACUCACUAGAUAAAGCACAUUUCAUAUCAGCGUCUUGGUCAGUGAUUAUUGUCUUUGGGUAAUUUCCCAUGCAUUUUUUGAACUCCGAGAAGAGCCAUAUAAAGGAUUCUGUAGACUCGUUAGAUAGAAACCCAUUAGCGAACAGAACAGUACGUAGAUGGUUAUUCACCCCACAGAAAAUUCCAAUAAUUAAUCUGUACUUGUUCGUGUUAUAUGUUGUAUCGAAAGUUAUAGCCUCGUCAUAUUCCCUAUAUUCCUCGAUACAUGUUGGGUCAGCCCAGAAUAAUUGUUUCAAAGAUCCUACAGAAAUAGAUGAUUCAGAUAACUACCAAUGAAAAUAGACCAUUUAGAUUUGCGAGAAAUUAAAUCAUACCUUCCUCGUCAAGCUGGUACGAGUAGUAGUAUUUAUCGCCGAGUUCCUUUAGUGCUUUAAAUUUCUCAAUUAAAGUCUCGACGUCAUGACUAUUCAUGUUCUCCUUGUCGUCGCGACGGUAGUUGGAGAAAUCUUGUUGUGUAAAUGGACAGCUUACGAAGCCCCCUGAUUGCAUAGCCACGUACGAAUAUUGCUGUCUGGGAGGUAUGAUUGUCGCAUCCAGACUGUCUAUCAAAUUUCUUGCAUACGAGGUAAUUUCCCUAUUUAUCUUCAAUAACCUUUUCUUGGACGGCGUUGACAAAUCAUGGUUGUGAUUAUCGUUGAAAACAGAUAUAACCCACCUAUCUCUGUGUAUCUUAAUAGUUAGUAGUACUUUGCAUCCUGUUCUCAAAUUUCUGAUGUGUCUAGGCUUUGUAGAUACAAUGCUUGGAUUUUCUACUAUUGAAAUUUUGGCUUUAGAUGUACCUUCCUUCGCGCAAACGUAGGUCUUCUUACGGAGACCCUUCUUCGAAUGUUUAGUUGAGCCUUUACGCACGCAGAACCCUUUUUGCCCAGCAUAUGCGUAGUAAAUAUCUUCAACCACCUUUAUUGAGUCGAACGUCAUACCGACAUUAGGAUGUUCAAUGAUUCUGAAAGAAAUGGCAAAAUUAUUUAAUAUCUUAGUAUGGAUGACAUUCGAUUACUGUGACGUAAAUUUGAGCACCGAAUUAGAAUACCGGAUGCAAUCCUCAUUGAAAUUCUCGUCCAGAGACUUUCCAUUUUGAUCUUCUCUGUUAGUUGAGCUAUAUAUUCAGUAACAUUCAGUAAUACAUAUACGAUGUGGGAAGCACAAUCAUCAUACAUCAAGUAAAAAUAUGUUUUCCUUAUAUGUAGUAUAUUGUGUUCAAACACAUAAAUUACCUGUCUGGUGGGUGUAAAUCCAUAUUUGUUGUUUGAAUUGUAUCUAACACUAGUUCGUAGAAUCUGUAAAAAAUAUAUAAUUUUAAUGAACGACUAACCGCCCUCGACGAUGAUGAAUAGAUUAUGUCGAAAAAUAAAAUACCUAGUUUUCGGGCUUCAUUAUUCUCCCUGUUGAUCUGUUUAGACAAUCAAAAAGAUUAAAAUUAUGGUUUGGAGUUGCAUAAAUUUUAACUAUGUAUAGUAAAUCUAGAUUGCUCUCCAAAUCGAAAAUUGUAACCAUUUAAUUUAAUUUUGUCCGCCGGAGUAAUUGGAUUUGAUUAUAGUUAGAAAUUUAGGUAGGGCAAUAACAUCUUACAAUUGUGGUUUCAUGUUCAGUCAUUUCUGGAUCCAUCCUGCAGUAGAAAAAAAACUUUUAGAAGCCUGUGUUUCGAUCGAAUAUCUUGCGUUGACUUUAGAAAAUGAUACUUCGGAACACAUUAAUCUAAAUGUCUUGAUUAUGAAACUCUAACCUAGUUUGAGAAAUGAUAUUAUGCUAGCGACCACGUGAACCUAAAAGUUAUGUCUUAUGUUAUUAAUUUUUUUUUUUGUAUCCAUAGGGAAAGUCCAAGUUUAUACAGCAGCCCAAUACAUUUAGAAUAUUAUGAAUAUCCCCAAUAAUUUUCUGUAUAUGGUUGAAAGGGUUUUAGUUCUACCUGAAGAUGUUUUUCUCGUCGUCCGUAUUUCUAGGAUAUCCUAAGUUUGAAAAAUCCAUUUCUAGACCUGUAUCUUAAAAACCAAUGUAGGAGGAAGGAGCGACGUCAGAGAACCGACUUCUGCAGUCCGGCGAGCGUCUGAAGAGGUGGCUGCCGGAAUCGCCUAGGGUUUUCCGCCCAAUCUUAGUUUGGGAAAAAACGGAAAUAACCGUUGGGGCGAAAAGAAGAAAGAAAGAAAGAAAGAAAGAAAGAAAGGGGAAAAAAUUUAGUUUUAAUUGUUUUAAAACUUAAUGAUGUUUAAUACAAACUCUCCAGUAUUUAUACAGCUAAUUACACUAACUAAUUACAACGAAUUUAAAACAACAGAUUUAAUCGGAUUCCGGAUUCUGGUUUAUUGCUUCUUGACCCGGAUCCGCUUAAGUUGAAUUGUGAUAAUUGCUGCAUAAACACAAACUUGUUAGUAAUAACAAUUUAGUCCUUGACUUAAGUUUGAGAGUUUUAUUUAAUAGUCCUUAGACUAUUAAAUAACUGGAGAAUUUGCGAGUUGACCCAUAUGUAAGUUUAUUCAAGUUAAAAUAACUUAUUUUGUAAUAACCUGUUAUUUCUUUUAAUUGCAUUCUAGUCCAAUUAACGAUUUUAUUGAAACAUUUAUAAGAAACCUCUUUCAAGUUAUAAACAAAACAGUUAAAUCUGUUUUGUCAUAACCCUUGGUUUAGUUUAUUCCAUUUAGGUCCUGGACUUAGUUUUGUGGGAUAAUUGCUUAUUUACCCUAGAUUUUCAUGUAUUCUUAUACUGUAAUCAUAUUAUAAUAAAAAUUCAGUUACACUAGUUCAAAGUCUACUGAGAGAGAUUCUAAAUGUUUCCACAUUCAUCUGAGCAUCUAAUGGUAUUUUGAAUACAAGUUCAGUGAUAGUGCAUGUAGAAGAACAAGCAGUGAUGGAAGGAUCUAAUGAUUCUCUGAAUAAAACCUCAAUGGUAGUUACCUAUGACGACCAUGUUUCUAAUGUGUUUGAAAGUGUCAAAUACAUGUAUGAAUCCUAUUUCGACGAUACUGAUAAAUGACUAAUCUCGGGAUUGUAUUAUUCAACACUUAUUCCAUAGAGAUGCGCUAAUCUCUUGGCUGUUUGAAUCCUUUGAUUCAUAUCUCGAUUAUACUGCAUGGAGAUACAUAAUUGUUUUGACAGUCUAAGCAUUGUUUAGAUCAAAGCUUAUUAUCUGUAAUGGACAAAUUUGAAUAAUCCUGUUCCAAAAUCUACUGAUGGUAUUAUUCAAAACUUAUUUAUGGAUGAUCAUCUUGUUUCUAAGGAUUCCAUAGAGAUGGACUAAACUCUUGGCUGUUUGAAUUUAACCCUGUUUGAAUUAUCUUUAUGAUGAAUGAAAUAAACCUUGCCAGCUAGCCCUAUUUAGCAAUACAUUUUUUUUCCAUCCCUUGUUAACAUAUUUGAAUUUGGAAGAUUAUAUAGAUUAAAUAAAGUUGAGUGAAUUCAUACGGUGGUUAUUGACACCAUAUGAUGAAAUUAUUGUUUUGGUAAAAGCUCCCCCGAAGAUGCAAUGUUUCUAAUUAUUCAAAUUUGAUAGAAGACCAUCAUGUUUCUAAGGAUUCCAAAGAUAUGGAAUAAUCUCUUGGCUAUCUGAAUCAUGUUAUUCAAAAUUAAUUAGACAAUCUGAGCAUUGUUCAGAUCAUAGCUUAUUGUUCAGAAUGAAACAAAAAAUUUUAACAUAUCAUUUAGAGGUUUUAGUUCGACCUGAAGAUGUUUCCCAAACUUCAAUAAGGACUGGAUUUUCUUGUUUUCAAUUAAUUUAUUUGCAGACCUGAAUCCAAAUAAAAAUAAAAAAUCAGUUACAAAUGAUCUUACAAUCAUCCUUUUGAUGAAUCAAAUAAACCUUGGCAGUUAGUCCUAUUUUACAAUAAAUAUUUUUUUCUUCCCUCAUUUACAUAUUUGAAUUUGGAAGAUUAUAUCGAUUAAAUAAACUUGAAUGGUUUCAUAAGGUGGUUAUUGACUCUCAUAUGAUGAAAUUGCCUUUGGCAAUCUAAAGAAAUUAUAUAGUUCUUAAUUAUUGUUUAGGUGAAAGCUCCCCGAAGAUGCAAUGCCUCUAAUGAUUCAAAUUUGAUAGAACAAAGCGAAUGCAUAUAUGAAUUCGAUCUUGCCGAUAUUGUUAAAUUAAGGUUCAAAAGUGAUUGAAGAAUCUAAUUGAAUUUUGAAUCCAAGGUCAAAAACGAUGACGGUUGAAUAUCCUAGUUUAAUGUUAAAAAUUAUAGGAUUUAUCAAAUAAAGGUCAUUUUAUAGUCACUCUAGAUGAUAAUCUUUCUUAGAUGUUGCAGAGUCUCAUGAUUCCAUUUAAAUGGAAGUAUCUAUUGCCUGCUUGAAUCAUAUUUCAAUGAUAGUUAUAAUAAAAGAUUAUAUAGUGAUUGAAAAAUAUAGGGAUUGUAUUAUUCAAAACCUAUUAAUGUAUGACUGACAUGUAAUCUCUUGUCUCUUGUCUUAAAAUAGAAGCAUAAUUAUUAACAUAUUAGUAAAGUUUUUGUUCUACCUCAAGAUGUGUUUCUCGUCGUCGACAUCCGAAGGAUCUUCGUGUUUUAAAAAUAGUAUUUGCAGACCUGAAUCCAUAUGUAAAUUAAAAUUUAGUUAGAAAAUUACAUCUAAAUAUGCAUCUGAUGGAACAAUUAAACCCUGGUAUUUAGUACUAUUGCACAAAGCAUUUAUUUGUUGUUCCCUGGAAUUACAGAACUGAUUACAUAAGAUUUUAUCCAGUAAAUAAACUAGAACUAGGUCAUUAGUUGGAGUCUCUACAUUUCAUUUAUUUAAACACAUGUUGUUUGCAGUUUGGAUUAUUCAUUUAAACUUGCACUUAUUUGCUCUGUAAUUUGUGUAAAUUUAUGAACUUGCACACUUCAUAGAACUAAUGAAAAGAUCGACAUCUGAAAAUCUUAAUUGCCUAAUGCCAGGUACAGCAGUUUGAUUCAAGAGUACAUUUCUGAUGAAGCACGAGAUCUGCUACCAGUAGGCUGGCGGGGUCGCGAGCAGGGCCGGAGGUUUUGGAGUCCACGACGCGCGCUCUACGUCAAAUACCUGCAGAAGUGGAGAGGAGUCGGCGACUCGGGCACCUUAGUUCUCUGGUCAGAGUGUGGAGUCAAGUAGGUGGGAAUGACUUGAUGAAUGAGAAGACCCCCCAAGGACCCCUUUUAUAGGGCCUUUUGGGACGUUUCUCAUUCAUUACCCGUGGGGCCCACGCUAUUAUGGUGCCCUAUUAAAGGUGCCAUAAUGGCGUGGGCCAAGUCAAGUAACGGCUGGGAGUCGGCGACUCAGGUAUGGGAGUCGGCGACUCAGGGUGAAGCCAUCGAUUCCCCAUGAGCCAGGUUGGCAGUCUACCAGAACUGACCAACGAGGCCUAGAAUCGGCGGCUCAUCUCUGGAGUCGGCGACUUGGUAGUCCCAGUCGCCGAUUCCCAGUGUUGACUUGAGUACUGACGUAGACACUUGCCCGUAUCCGUGGAACUCUCUGGGGGUCCGGCAUAAAGCGGCGGAACCCUAGUCCUUGUUGAAGGGCGUUGCUAGGACGUAAUCAGGCAUGUCUCACCAGUACUCCCCCCUGAAGAGAGCACAAGAAACAUGCGUGUACCGCCAGUAUCCCCCCCCAAGCAAGGUGAUCCGCACCAAGGCCAAAGCGACAAGAUGGGAUCGAGGCAUUGCGCUCACAGCGACACAAUGACUCCGCGUGGUCCAUGCACUAUCAGAUGGACUGAUUCACUAUCAGAAUCUAGUUCCAGGCCAAUGGAAGUACGUGUUUAUAGUCCUACUCUGAUCAGGAGCGACUUUUGCUGUGGAUUCUGGCCGAAGAGACAGAAUGCUUGGAUUCACUAUCAGAAUCGGGUUCUGGCCGAAGCGACAGAAUGCGUGGAUUCACUACUAGAAUCUAGUUCACUAUCAGAACUGAUGCUUAUAGUCCACCCUGAUCAAGAGUGACUUUACGUCCGCAACGACGGUUACCCCAUAGGCCAAAACGCAAGAUGGGUCGAGAUCAUUAAGGCCAAAGCGACAAAGUGAACUCCAAACGUAUCAAGGCCGAAGCGACAAGAUAUAAGAAUUAUUGAAGCCAAAGCGACAACAUAAUUCUUGGUUCAUUAAGGCCAAAGCGACAAAAUGGACCUGGAUCUAUUAAGGCCAAAGCGACAAAAUAGAUUGACUCACUAUCAGAGUCUGGUUCACUAUUAGAACCUUUUCCUGCAAAACAGAAAACAACUUGCAAAACAACCAUAUCAGUCUAAAGGAAAUACUUAUUGAUUUACUGACCUUGCCGUGUGAAGCUGCCUCUUGUGUUGCUACUCCUUAUGCUCAAUAAGUCCUUGAUUGAUCUGGCCGAAGCGAUAGAUCUAUCAUGCUCAAAAUGUGACAGCUUCUGGCCGAAGCGACAAAAGUGUCGGGAGGACUUGUGAUGCUCCCCUUGGGUUUCGACGAUUUCUGGCCGAAGCGACAGAAGUGUCAGGAAGAGCUUGUGAUACUCCCCCCGGGGUUUGACGACUUCUGACCGAAGCGACAGAAGUGUUGGGUAGAGCUUGUGAUACUCCCCCCUUGAGAUCAUUAAGGCCGAAGCGUCAAAAUGACCUCAGGUCUAUCAAGGCCGAAGCGACGAGAUAGACCGACUCACUAUUAGAGUCUGACUCACUAUCAGAGUCUGGUUCCCUAUUAGAACCUGGUUCACUAUUAGAACCUUUUCUGCAAAAAAGAAAACAUCCUGCAAAAUAACUAGAUCAGUCCAAAACGCAUAUUUAACUUAUUGAACUUACCGUGCGAUUUUACCUUCCUUGAUGCCUCUCCUUUGCUCAAAUUGAUCCUUGGUAAAUAUGGCCGAAACGACAGAUCUUACCGUGCUCAAUUUUUGACGACUUCUGGCCGGAGCGACAGAAGUGUCGGGAGAGUUUGUGAUACUCCCCCCGAAAUUUGACGACUUCUGGCUGAAACGACAAAAGUGUCGGGAGAGCUUGUGAUACUCCCCCUCGAAAUGUAACGACUUCUGGCCGAAGCGACAGAAGCGUCGGGAGUACUUGUGAUACUCUUUAUUGAAAAUGUGAUGACUUCUGGUCGAAGCGACAGAAGCGUCGGGAGUAUUUAUGAUAUUCUCCCUUGAGGUGUGAUGACUUCUGUCCGAAGUGACAGAAGUGUCGGGGGAGUUUGUGAUAUUCUCCCUCGAUAUGUGAUGACUUCUGGCCGAAGCGACAGAAGUAUUGGGGGAGUUUGUGGUAUUCUCCCUCGAUGUGUGAUAACUUCUGGCCGAAACGACAGAAGUGUCGGGAGAGUUUGUGAUACUCUCCCUCGAAAAUCGUGCCUUUUGAGACACAUAACCCUUUGAAUGAGUGGGUUUUAUUUUUUGAAGUAUUGGAGUAUUCGAAACUGAUAAAUAUUCGAAACUCGAGGGUUACCUUUGCAACCUUGAACCCUGAUGCUGGAGAGAGUCUGUGAUGUUCUCUCCUGAGAUGCGACGACUUCUGGCCGAAGCGACAAAAGUGUCGGGGAGGGCUUGUGAUACUCCCUCCUGAAGAUGUGACGAUUUCUGACCGAAACGACAGAAGUGUCGGAGAGGGCUUGUGAUACUCUCUCCUGAAAGUGUGUUGUUGUUUACCCUGAGUCGGCGACUGGGUGCCCCAAUCGUCGACUCCUAUGCUUUGGGUAACUGUGAGGGUUGUUUUGAAAUUUUCCCCCUUGAGUCGGCGACUCCUUCUGGGAAUCGUCGACUCCUACUGUGAAACGUCGGAUCUUUCAGGAGAUCCUUAGAGAUAUUUGGAGGAUAUAUGCAAAAUUUUCAAUUAAGGAAAUAUAUCUCUCAAAUUUUGAAAAAUAGUGGCUGGAAUCGACGAUUCAGCUUGGGAAUCGUCGACUCGGACGUGAUUUCAGGGAUUUUGGAGAUCGAUUUCCGAUUUCUUCCCUUGCAAUUUUCGGAUUCUCUAGGGGGUUUUUGCAAUUUUCCCAGGAAUUAUAAAUAGUGGUGAGCGCUUCACACUUCUCACUUCACUUUUCCCCAAUUUCGAAUCGCCUAUCAAACCCUAGAUCCUUCUGUCGCCGAUUCCCCAGUUCAAUUCUACUUGAAUCGACGACUCCGAAAUGGCAAGAACUACUCCUCACCUUACUGAUGCCGAGGCCGCUGCUAUGAUUGCGGAGAUGGCCGGAGAAGAAACACUUGUCGAGGUGCUGAACGCCGUCGAGUCGCCGAUUUCGUCUCCUCCCAGAGACGUUGAAUCGUCGACUCCGGUUGUUCCACCUUCUGACCAUUUGAGUGCUUCUGUGCACGAUUUGUUGGAGCCUCUGGCUGGGUCGACGAUUUCGGACAAGGUUUCGGAAGUCGUGCCAGAAGCUGAACAGGGAGAAAUCCUUGGUGAGUCGACGAUUCCCACUUCGGGGUCGCCGAUUCCCAGAGCUUCAAAGAAGAAGAUCUCCUUCAAGAGGAGGGAAAAGUUGGCCACCGACUCCGAGGCCUUAAAUAUCCGAGGCGACUGGGCCAGUGGAAUCGACGAUUCUGGUAGUUGAGUCGGCGAUUCCCAUCAUGACAGUGGAUGAUUCAACUGUAAAUUCCGAGCCACUUGUUGUGAGUUCUGAGGGUGUCAUCGUGUCUGGGAUGAACCCUAACAAGCGACCAUCUCAGGACGAUGGUUUGAAAAAGAAGAAAAGACGACGGGGCCAUGGCAAAGGCAAAAUCUAUGUGCCUGGCCAGGAGGAGACUCAGAAUCCUCACAAUAUAAAUUUUGACGAGGAACUCAUGAUUGAUCGUGGAGUUCCCGUCCCUGCUCCAGAUGCGGGACGUCGUGAACGAGAAAAAACUCCUAUAUCUCCAGUCGAGAUGGAUUUAGGUCGAAAUCCCGAUGCCGAUCCCUCAAACUAUAUUGGGGUCAUGAAUCCGACCGGAUACGCGCAUUGCGAAACGUAUGUUAAUGGCGCAACGCAAUUGCUCCCUAUCGACCGCUCGGGCGAGAGUCGAUUUGAAGAGGUUAUGACUGUGGCGACGCUUGCGCGUCAAUCUGAAGUGCAUCCCCCCUCAAUCAUUAACGCGAAAGAGGCCCGAAAUCUGUUGAGGGCGAUGAAGAUUUUCGGACAUCUCCGCUUUUGGGUGUCGCGAUACCAGCCCGCGAACCUUCCACCACCAGGGUUCCAGGCUCUACCUAAAAUGUAUUUAAAGCAUUUCCCUGAGCUGCCUAUUCCGGAGCUCAUGAGUGAAUUGCUUCUUGCCUUUGAAGUCUCGCUGUCACAGCUACCAGCGGGAUUCUUUGUGACAUUGAGAGGGUUCCUCAACAUUUGCUGGAGUUUGGGUGUUACUCCCACCCCAUACCUCUUCCUUAACUACUACAAGUUGUGUAAGGAUGGGAAGGUUGGAUCGGGUCAUCUCGGGUUGGCGCGACGAAACCUCGAUCGUAACUUAGUGGAUGAUCUUCCCACUAACCAUGGAGUGUGGAAGAAAGAAUUUGUGUUUGUCAAUUCUGAGUUUCUUCCCGGGAGUCGGGAAGUUUGGGCUGACCCGAAUUGCACGAAGCUGUGCGUGAAUCUGGGCUUGAUGGCGGAUGAUGUGAUUGCCGUCACCAAGAUCACCCAGGCCCUGAAAGCUCACCACCUGCCCCGUGGCGUGCCAUUUGUCCUCUCUCAGCGUGAGGACUUUACUUUCGAGGAUGUUGUGGAGGUUCAGAAACCUCCUACGGAUGAAUAGACAGCAAGCGCAAAGAAGCGAACGCUUCUAUAUUUUGAUGUUGUCGCUCCGCACAUGGCCGAGAGAUAUCGACGUGCGAAGCUGAUUAGACUGGAGAAGAAAACCAAGGCUCCCAAGGCCCCGAGUAUGUUUGAGAGGGGCUCAAGCUCUCAAGCCACACCUGAGCGGGCUGGUUUCGCACCUUUGACGAGUGGCAUGCCCCUUCCUGACUUUAUGGCUGAUCCACAAGUCAGGUCGGAUGCUAUGUCCAUCUUGAUGACGCAAUCCGGGAGUUGGGUUCGGAGUGAGCUCAUGACAGCUCUGAAUGCUGUAAGUGCUUCUACUUUCCGAAAACAUUUUUUACUUAUUGUUUUUGUUUGUUUGCUAACUUGUUUUUUUGUGUAGGCUUGCUACAUGGCCCAUGCUUGUUUGGGCAUGGAUUCGAUAAAUGACGUCCAGAGAAUUCAGGAUCGAUAUAAUGAACUGGACGCCAAGUACAAGAUUAGCGAGAAGCAACUGGGCAAGCUGGCCCAUGCUCAAAGAAAAUUUGAGAACCUUAGAGACAACGUCAUCCCGAAUAAGGAGAAGACGAUUGAGUCCCAAAAGAAGGAAAUCGACGAUUAUGUUUCGCAGAUUUUGGGACUCCGUAAAGAACAGAAGAGUGCCUCUAAGGAGAUGCAGAGCAUGCGGGCCCAGCUGGAUAUGGAGAUUGGAAAUGUGGUUUCAUCUGAAGCCACAAAUGCGAAUCUGAGGAGCACUAACUCUGAGUUGGAGAGGAAGUGCGAUGAGCUGAAUGACCAACUUACUCGCUCUAAGGAGGAGUUGGAAGGUGUGAAGAAGGAGAACUCCGUGUUGAAGAAGGUGAACUCCGUACUUUUGGAGAAGGCUAAGGACUUGGAGUUGGAUAAGAAGUACCAAUCUGAUCAACUCCAAGAACUUAGCUUCUUUGGUACCUCAGUGUUCCCAUCACUACCCGAAGACUUUAUCUCGGAUAUCAUGAUGUGGGUAGACGAGCAUCCCGAAGAGAAAGAGAAAAACAGGGAUGCUCUCGACAAGCUAAAGAACGACGAAGAAGACUAGAUUUUUUAUUUCUUCUUAGCUUGUAACUUUUGAUAUUUUAGAAUAUUUUGUAAUAUUUUGGACUUUAUUAAUGAAUCGCUUUGCUUUGCUUUGCUUUCAAUUAAUUGUUUAUUUUACUUUAUUUCUUUGAAUUGUAACUAAGACCCGAAACUAGAUUCGCGAGUCGUAAUUUAGCCGCCCUGGACGUAAAUUAGACUAACCCUAUUGCUAGCCACUCUGGGCGUAGACUUAGUCGUGCGAAUCGUAGCUCAGUCUACGGUUAAAUUCGCGAAAUGAAUUAAACUUCACAAUUAACAAAAACUCGCAAUUAAUGUCGAUCAAAAUAAUAAGUGGAAAACAAAAUAUCGAAAAGAAUCGGAAAAUAGAAAAUAUCGAAAUUAAGAUACGACUUUUUCUAGACCUUAAGACUCUAGAAUUGUACUCUAGAUUCCUUAUUAUGUAGUUCAACUCCGGCCGAAGCGACGGAGCAACUUUUGACCCACAUCAAGGUCGUAACGACGAGAUGGGGUUGAAUCGUUAAGGCUAUAGCGACAAAACGAUUACUAAUCCAUUAAGGCCAUAGCGACAUAAUAGAUUCUGGUAAGUGUGGUGGGUACUUAGAACCUCUUGUGGUUGGGUUCACUUGUACCUAUCAACUACCUAGGACUCUACUUCUAGACCCUAAUGCGUGGUUGAACUCUGGCCAUAGCGACAGAGUAACUUUUUGGACCCACAUCUAGGCUGAAGUGACAAGAUUGGGUUUAAUCGUAAUGUGUCAAAACGAUUUUAAUCUAUUAAGGCAAUAGCGACAAAAUAGAUUUAUAAUAUGGGGUGCUAGUUAGAGUCGUAGGUAGAUGAUAAAUGUAAAUUUUAUUGAAAUGUAAAUUACAAAAGUAAAAUCUGAUUUUUCUACUUUGCAAUUUAAACUAACAUAUAGACUAAGAGGCUCUAAGGAAUAACGUGUUCAAUACUAAGCGUAGUAUCGCUGUAUGUUGUCCGUGUGCCAGAUGCAGGGACCUUUGGGUGACAGCUUAUUCCUAUUCCUCUCAGCUAUGCUAGCCUUCCUGUGGGUCUACCACCAAAUAACAUAUAGAUGGUUUUCCAUGGGUGGUCCUCGCUAUUGUCGCUAUUUGGCGAAAGAGAGCGUGGACGCUUUCCCUUCGUGUCAGACUUGCAAUCGUCUCGACCUCGGGAUCCUCUGACAAAGUUGUCAAGUUCGCCGUUCGAGAUCAAUUGCUCGACAUAAAGCGAGAAUUCCCUGCAAUAGUCCAUCAGAUGGUCGUGGUCCUUGUGGAAUUUACAGAAUCUUCCACCUUUUUGACGGCUAUCCUUGGUUGCAGGGUCCAUAGAGCGAGGAGCGGGCAGAUCUGCUCUGUUCUUCAGUUUCUCAAACAGCUCGCUUUUGCUGAUUAUUAGCGGGGUCCGAUCCUUCCAUGGUUGAGGUGGACCCCUUGGUGGAUGUUUGGUGGAUGUUUGAUACACCUUGUUAUCGUGUUUGGGCUUCCAUUCCUUUCUGAAGGAAUCAGCCGCAUUGUCAGUGUAUCUAUUUGAGGAGUCAUUGUAGCUCUUCUUCUCGAACUUUUGUUUCUUGAAGCUAGUGUUCUCAAGUUCCACUAGCUUGUUUUCAUUCUACUCUUCCACCUCAAUGAAUGAUUGAGCUCGUUGGAAGAGGUCGGGUAAGGUCUUCACUUUAUGGAGCGUAAGAUUCAGGGCCAAAGGGGAGUAGGGUACUAGUCCAUUCGUGUAUCCCGCUAUGGCCAGACUCGGGAUUAAGUCGUUCACUUCUGUCAUCAUUGAAGUGAACUUAAUCGUAUAAUCCCUAAGAGACAGUUUAUCCUGCCGUAGCGCCAGCAGUGCAUUGGCGCUGUGUUUGAUCCUAAUCAUCCCCACAUGUUGGGCGAUGAAUUUGGACGAGAGGUCCGCGAAGCUGAAGAUUGAUCCAGUUGGCAGACCGGAAAACCACCGAUAGGCAUUGCCCUUGAGAGUGUCGGGGAAUGCUCGACACAGCAGUGCGUUGUCAGUGGUUUGCGGUUCCAGAACAUUGAUGUAGAGGUUGAUGUGUUCUUUUGGAUCACUCGAACCAUCGUACGACUCUAUUCUGGGUACCCGCCAGGUUGGUGGAAAGGCCACCUUCAAAAGGUCCUCUUGGAAAGGAGCGCUUUUGACUCUUAGGAAUUCGAUCGGACUGCUAGUGACCGGAUUGUCGGCCAGCUUCCGACGGAGGUCCUCCAUGAACUGUGUUGUAAGAGUCCUCUCAGUGCGACUCUUACUGGGUCCAGCUCUUGAUUUUUCUGGUUCUGGACCUUUCUUUUUCUCCGCAGUCGGAGAAUUCUAAGAGACCGAUUCACUCGCUCUUUCGCGGGCGAUGGUCCUCUGACUCCUCGCUUUCUCGAGGUUGUUAACUCUUUGCUCCAUGUUAUCCAUGAAGUUAAUCAACCUCGCUUCUAGAGCGGGAGAGAUGGAUGUCCGAGGGGGCAAAUCAGUUUGAGCAUCCUCGAACCUCUCAACUUGUAUGUUUUGUUGAGGAUACCCAGUUUGUGCCCCAUCGGGUGCCACUGAGGAUUUGCCUUUGUUCCUCAGAUAGUAAUCGUGUUUUUGCCUUUCAGAAGCCAUAGAUGACAAAAGCAAAUUCCAACCGAAGCGCAGGUAUUGACCGAACUAACUCGAAAGAAACCAAGUGGAGUCGGCGACUCAGCAGGUGGAGUCGGCGACUGGCCUUAGGUUUUUUGACUUUCGAGCUGAGUCAAGGACCACACUCUUAGCUAGCAGAAUAACCCGCAAUCGACGACUCACUAGGUGGAGUCGGCGAUUGCCUGUGUGAAUCGGAGAUUCCUUGACACAAAGUCAGCGAUUCACCCUAAGGGAAUCGAGCUGAACUUUGCGAAGAAAAAUUCGCGAUUACGACGGGAUAUCGUGGAUUCGAGUCCCACAGGCGUCAGCUGAUGAAGCACGAGAUCUGCUACUAGUAGGCUCGUGGGGUCGCGAGGAGGAUCAGAGGCUUUGGAGUCCACGACGCGCGUUGUACGUCAAAUACCUGCAGAAGUGGAGGGGAGUCGGCGACUCAGGUGUGGGAGUCGGGCUCCUUAGUUCUCUGGUCGGAGUGUGGAGUCAAGUAUUGAUGGGAAUGACUUGAUGAAUGAGAAGACCCCCCAAGGACCCCUUUUAUAGGGCCUUUUGGGACGUUUCUCAUUCAUUACCCGUGGGGCCCACGCUAUUAUGGUGCCCUAUUAAAGGUGCCAUAAUGGCGUGGGCCAAGUCAAGUAACGGCUGGGAGUCGGCGACUGGGAGUCGGCGACUCAGGGUGAAGCCUUCGAUUCCCCAUGAGCCAGGUUGGCAGUCUACCAGAACUGACCAACGAGGCCUAGAAUCGGCGGCUCACCUCUGGAGUCGGCGACUUGGUAGUCCCAGUCGCCGAUUCCCAGUGUUGACUUGAGUACUUGAUGUAGACACUUGCCCGUAUCCGUGGAUCUCUCCGGGGGUCCGGCAUAAAGCGGCGGAACCCUAGUCCUUGUUGAAAGGCGUUGUCGGGAGUGACUGACGUAAUCAGGCAUGUCUCACCAAUUUCAUUAACAUGGGAAAAAGAAAAUUUUGUCCUAACUGGUGAGACAUGCCUGAUUACGUCAGUCACUCCUAGCAACACCCUUCAACAAGGACUAGGGUUCCGUCGCUUUAUGUCGGACCCCCGGAGAGUUCCACGAAUUCGGAGGAAGUGUCUACAUCAAGUACUCAGGGCAACACCUGGGAGUCGCCGACUGGGACUACCAAGUCGCCGACUCUAGGGGUGAACCGCCGACUCUAGGCCUCGUGGUCAGUUCUGGUAGACUGCCAACUUGGCUCAUGGGGAGUCGGCGACAGAACCUCUGGAUCGGCGACUCCCAUACCUGAGUUGCCGACUCCCAGCCGUUACUUGAGUAGGGCCCACGUCAUUAAGGCACCCUUCAAUAGGAUACCUUAAUGGGGUGGGCCCCACGCUAAUGAAUGGGGAAACGUCCCCCAGGACCCUAUAAAAGGGGUCCUUGGGGGACCUCUACUCCCAGGUCAUUCCCACUUGACACACCACACUAGAGCAAUCCAGGGAGCCCGAAUCGCCUACUCCCAAGAGAGUCGCCGAUUCCCCUCCCCUUCUGCAGGUACAUUGACGUAGAGCGUGCGUCGUGGACUCCAAAGCCUCCGGCCCUCCUCGCAACCCCGCGAGCUUACUGGUAGCAGAUUUCCUGCUUCAUCACUAACAGUACUCAUUUUGAUUUUGGAUCCAUAGCUAGUCAUCAUUUUUAGUGGGGAGGAGUAUUGAAAGACUGUGCCAACCAUUCCUUCAACUGUUGUGCAUCAGUGGGAUCAAUGCUCUUGUAAGUCUCCAAAGCGUCCUCGUAGUCGUCAUCCGACGAGGGCUCUGGUGAGACAUGCCUGAUUACAUCAGUCACUCCCAGCAACACCCUUCAACAAGUAUUAGGGUUCCGUCGCUUUAUGCCGGACCCCCGGAGAGCUCCACGGUCGCGGGCAAGUGUCUACGUCAAGUGCUCAAGUCAACACUGGGAACCAACGACUAGGACUACCAAGUCGUCGAUUCUGGACCAGGGUAGUGAGUUCUCCCGACCUGGCUCCUAAGGACUCGCCGACUCCACCCUGAAUCAACGACUCCCAUACCUGAGUCGCCGAUUCCCAGCCGUUACUUGACUUGGCCCGCGUCAUUAUGGCACCAUCAAUGAGGCGCCAUAAUGACGUGGGCCCCAGGGACAUUGAAUGAGAAACGCCCCAAGGACCUUAUAAAAGGGGCCCUUGGAGGGUCCUCAUUCUCAGGUCAUCUACACUUGACACACCCCACACCAGAGCACAUCUAGGAGCCCGAGUCGCCAACUCCCACAUCUAAGUCGCCGAUUCCCCUCCUCUUCUGCAGGUACAUUGACGUAAAGCGCGCAUCGUGGACUCCAAAGCCUCUGGCCCUCCUCGCAACCCCGCGAGCCCACUGGUAGCAGAUCACGUGCUUCAUCAGCUGGCGUCGUCUGUGGGAAUAUCGAACUACGAUAUCCCGUCGUAAUCGCGAAAUUUUCUUCGCAAAGUUCGGCUCGAUUCCCAUUGGGUGAAUCGCUGACUUUGUGUCAAGAAAUCGUCGAUUCAUACCAGCAAUCGCCGACUCCACCUAGUGAGUCGUCGAUUCCGGGAUUAUUCUGCUAGCUAAGAGUGUUGUCCACGGCUUGGUUCAAAAAGCCCAUAAGUUGAAUCGUCGAUUCCACAUAGGGAGUCAUCGAUUCCUUUAGCUUUUUGAAUAAGUGUUGUCAAUGCCUUUUGCUAUGGAACAUUCACUUUCACAUAGGUUGGAUUUUUCAUAAAAAAUCACCUAUCUUCAUCUGAAUCGUCGAUUCCCACCUGAAUCGACCUGAGUAGGCGAUUCCCACACCUGAAUCGUCUAUUCGGUCCUUGUCUUCAUUCAUCGCUUUGGCUGAAUAAGACCACCCACAACCCAACUCUUUGACCGAAACAAAAAUCCAUCGCUUUGGCUGGAUUCGCAUCGUCGUUUCGGUAAAAAAAAGAAGCAUGGGACUUUUCGCCUUUUUUCACUUCCAGUGAUUCUGUCGGUCCACCUCCGGAAUUCCCAGAUUUGAUUUUGGGAUUCUGCGACCACACAUCACGUGAAAAAAGUUCUCUACGAGUACAAAAAAACAGAAUUUCCCAACAGUGCAAGGAAUCUAUUUUGGGAUAGGUCUAAACAGACAUCCCAAAAACUACCUUCGGCGGCACGAUUUUCUGCAGAAAAAUUGCAAAAAAUUUGCGAUUUUUUUUUUGCUAAUUUCAAACUUUGGGGACUAGUAAUACUGCUCAAGGGGGUCACAAAACUACAAAGAAAUAUCAUACAAAAAAAUUUCUGUUUUGUGACACCCGGGGGGGCAGGUACCUACCCAUAGCUUCCGACACUUCGGAAGAACUUCCACUCGUAGUCUGUUACUUCGACCUGAUAGAAGCAACCAUCCCAUUUAUGACUCCUUUUACUAAGGAUUAUAAAAAGGAAAACUCCCGCUACUGCUACUGAAGUAGGAGCUUCUAGUAGGAGGGUUGGUUCCCGUACUGUACCAACCUCUAAUGCACCACUGUCCACACAUGAGUGCCCUCAUCACUCCCACCAAAUGGAUGAGUGAACCUAACUCCUGCGCUACAAGAGAGGUUGAUUAACUUUAUGGAUACCAUAGAAAAAGGAGUUAGCAACCUCGAGAAAGCAAGGGACCACAAGAGGAAAUCUCCAGUCCCUCCUAAAGCAAGGGUUGGACCUAGUAAGAGUCGCACUAACAAGACUCUUACGUCACGGUUCGUGGAAGAUCUUCGUCGGAAGCUGGCCGAUAACCCAGUCGCCAGCAGCCCGAUCGAGUUCCUGAGAAUCAAAAGUGCUUCUUUUCACGAGGACCUUUUGAAAGGAUCCUUUCCACCAACCUGACGGGUACCCAGGAUAGAAGCGUAUGACGGUUCCAGUGAUCCAAAAGAUUAUAUCAACCUCUACCUUAAUGUCUUGGAACCGCAGACCACCGAUAACAGGUUGUUGUGUCGGGCAUUCCCCGACACUCUCAAAGGCAGCGCUUAUCGAUGGUUUUCUGGUCUGCCAGCUGGCUCGGUCUCCAGCUUCGCGGACCUCUUUUCAAAGUUCAUCGCCCAACAUGUGGGGAUGAUCAGAAUAAAACACAGUGCCAACGCACUACUGACACUACGACAGAACAAGCUGUCUCUGAGGGAUUACACAAUUAAGUUCACUUCGAUGAUGACAGAAGUGAACAACCUGAUCUCAAAUCUGGCCAUAGUAGGAUACAUAAGAGGGUUGGUACCCUUCUCCCCUUUGGCCCAGAAUCUGAUGCUCCAUAAAGUGGAGACCCUGCCCGACCUCUUCCAACGAGCUCAAUCAUUCAUUGAGAUAGAAGAGGAGGACAAUGACAAGUUGGACGGAUUCGAGCCUCCCAGCCGGAAAAAACUUCGCUAUGCUGAAAAAGAUACAUACGAGGAUACAAGUUCCCGGUCCGAAACCUCGACUACUAUUCCUCGAUACAGAGAGGACUUUCCAAGCAGCAGUUAUGGCCACCAAAGUCAUAACUCGUACUCUCAGUCUGAUAACAGUUAUGGCCACGAAAGCCAUAGCUCACGCUCUCAAUCCUAUAAUAGUGAUGACGACCAAAACCACAGUUCACAUUCACAAUCAAGUGCAUCACGCUAGUAGUGAGGAACUAUCAUUUGUUAAAAGGAAGAUAAGAUUGGCCAGAGUAACCAGGCAGGCUAUGCUUCUGUCAGUAGCAACCAGCGAUCAAAACACGUUGAUUCUUUUGUUUGUCGCUCUCAUAUAUUCUCAAUAGCGAUAUUAUUCUAAAUAAAUCUCUCUUUAAUCCAUGGAGAUACUAUGAAAUAUGUAUGCCAUAUCAUACUUAGAAUAAUCACCCAUCGCUUCAGACGGAUCAAUCAUCCAUCGUUUCGGCUGGAUGGCGUCCGUCACUUCUACCUCAUAUACCAUCCAUCGCUUUGGCUACUCAGACCUAACUUAUGACCCACGAGUCUAAGUGACGGUUACAAAAUCCAAUUUACGUCCAGAGUGGCUAAAUUGUGAUUACAAGUUUAGCUUACGAUUUAUGAGUUCAAAGUGCGACUUAAGAAUCUAAUUCAUGCUCUCAUUUACGAAUCUAGCCCCGAGAUUCUAAAUUUACGACUACAAUCAAUGAUACCCUCGUUUUAAAUCUAUUUUGUCGCUAUGGCCUUAAUAGACCAAGGAUCAUUUUGUCGCUUUGGCCUUAAUGAUCCUAUCCCAUCUUGUCGCUAUGGCCUUGAUGAGGAUCGAGAGUCGCUCUGUCGCUAUGGUCGGAGCUUGACUAAAACCCCAGGGUUCAAAUCUAGAAUUGUAGUCCUAAAUUGCAGUCUCUUAGUAUCUAUGCUAGUACAAAUUACGAAAUAGAAUAGUUAGAUUUUAUUUUUGUAAUUCUCAUAUCUAAAAGUCAAUAAAGUUGACACUCUUUCGAAAUCACCUACCUGCGACUCUAACUAGUACCCUACCUUAGAAAUAUAUUUUGUCGCUAUGGCCUUAAUAGAUUAAAAUCGUUUUAUCGUUAUGGCCUUAACGAUCCUACCCCAUCUUGUCGCUUUGGCCUUGAUGUGGGUCCAAAAGUUACUCUGACGUUUCGGCCAGAGUUCAACUACACAUUAGGGUAUAAGUGUAGAGUCUUAGGUAGUUGAUAAGUACAAAUGAACCUAACUUCAAGAAGUUCUAAGUACCCACAACACAUACGAAAAUCUAUUCUGUCGCUAUGGCCUUAAUAGAUUAAAAAUCGUUUUGUCGCUAUGGCCUUAACGAUUCAACCCCAUCUUGUCGCUAUGGCCUUGAUGAGGGUAAAAAGUUACUCUGUCGCUUCGGCCAGAGUUUAACUACACAUUAGGGAAUGAAAUCUAGAAUCUUAGGUUCUAAGUCUUAUUCCCGAUAAUUUUUGUAUCUUCAACUUAUUACGUCAAUUAGCUUUGCAAGUCUUGAUUAGUUGUGAAGUUUAAUUUAUUUCGCGAGUUUAGCCGUAGACUGAGCUACGAUUCGUACGAUCAAGUCUACGCCCAGAGUGGCUAGCAAUAGGGUUAGCAGAGUCUAAUUUACGUCCAGAGUGGUUAAAUUACGACUUGUGAAUCUAGUUUCGGGUCUUAGUUACAAUUCAAAAAAUAAAUUAAAUAAACAAUUAAUUAAGAAAGCAAAAUAAUUUAUUAAAUUGAAUUCCAAAAAAUUACAAAAAUAUGAAAGCAUUUCAAGAGAGAGUAUCACAAUCUCUCUCCGACACUUCUGUCGCUUCGACCAGAAGUCGUCACAUUUCAAGAGGGAGUAUCACAAGCUCUCUCCGACAUCAGGGUUCAAACUUAAGUUGUAAUUAGAAAUUACAAACAUAACCCUCGAGUUUCAAAUAUUUGCAUCUUUUGGAUUUGUCAUUUGCGCUAUCUUUUACAACUCUACGUUAAUCUGAAAGUAUAAAUUAUCUGCAAAUUUAACCGUAGGCUGAGCUACGAUUCGUACGACCAAGUCUACGUCCAGAGUGGCUAGCAAUAGGGUUAGCAUAGUCUAAUUUACGUCCAGAGUGGCUAAAUUACGACUUGUGAAUCUAGUUUCGGGCCUUAGUUACAAUUUAAAUGGUAAUUUAUAUGAAAAAUUAGCAAAGAAAAAAUAAAAGAUAGCCCAUUGACAAUCAAAAUCAAAUAUUUCGGAAAACAAUUCAUUCCAAAACUUAUGUGUCACAAUGGCACGAUUUUCGAGGGGGAGUAUCACAAACUCUCCCGAAACUUCUGUCGCUUCGGCCAGAAGUCGUCACAUUUCGAGGAGAAGUAUCACAAGCUCUCCCGACACUUCUGUCGCUUCGGCCAGAAGUCAUCGCAACUCAAAGGGGGAGUGUCACAAACUCUCCCGACACUUCUGUCGCUUCGGCCAGAAGUCGUCAAAUUUCGGGGGGAGUGUCANNNNNNNNNNNNNNNNNNNNNNNNNNNNNNNNNNNNNNNNNNNNNNNNNNNNNNNNNNNNNNNNNNNNNNNNNNNNNNNNNNNNNNNNNNNNNNNNNNNNNNNNNNNNNNNNNNNNNNNNNNNNNNNNNNNNNNNNNNNNNNNNNNNNNNNNNNNNNNNNNNNNNNNNNNNNNNNNNNNNNNNNNNNNNNNNNNNNNNNNNNNNNNNNNNNNNNNNNNNNNNNNNNNNNNNNNNNNNNNNNNNNNNNNNNNNNNNNNNNNNNNNNNNNNNNNNNNNNNNGCAUCACGAAAGGUAAAAUCGUACGGUAAGUUCAAUAAUAAUAUGCGUUUUGGACUGAUCCAGUUAUUUUGCAGGUAAGAUUCUAAUAGUGAAUCAACAGAUUCUGUCGCUUCGGCCAGAAUCAGAAUCUAAUAGUGAAUCAACAGAUUCUGUCGCUUCGGCCAGAAUCAGACUCUGAUAGUGAGUCGGUUUGUCUUGUCGCUUUGACCUUGAUAGACCAGAGGUCAUUUUGUCGCUUUGGCCUUAAUGACCUCAAGGGGGGAGUAUCACAAGCUCUCCCCGACAUUUCUGUCGCUUCGGCCAGAAGUCGUCGAAUUCCGGGGGGAGUAUCACAAGCUCUCCCGACACUUCUGUCGCUUCGGCCAGAAGCUGUCAAAUUUAGAGCAUGGUAGAUCUGUCGCUUCGGGCAGAUCAACCAAGGAUUUGUUGAGAAAAGGAAGGAGCUGCUUCACACGGCAAGGUCAGUAAAUCAAUAAAUAUAUCCUUUAGACUGAUAUAGUUGUUUUGCAGGUUGUUUUUUGUUUUGCAGGUAUGAUUUUGUCGCUUCGGCCAGAAUCAGAUCUAUUUUGUCGCUUUGGCCUUAAUAGAUCUAGGUCCAUUUUGUCGCUUUGGCCUCAAUGGACCAAGAAUUAUUUUGUCGCUUUGGCCUCAAUAAUUCUUCUAUCUUAUCGCUUUGGCCUUGAUAGACUUGGAGAUCAUUUUUUCGCUUUGGCCUUAAUGAUCUCGACCCAUCUUGUCACUUUGGCCUUGAUGGGGUAACCGUCGUUGCGGACAUAAAGUCGCUCUUAAUCAGGGUAGAUUAUAAACAUCAGUUCUGAUAGUGAACUAGAUUCUGAUAGUAAAUCAACAGAUUAUGUCGCUUCGGCCAGAAUCAGGCUCUGAUAGUGAGUCAGUCCAUUUUGUCGCUUUGGCCUUAAUGGACGGAAAUUAUUUUGUCACUUUGGCCUUAAUAAUUCCCUCUCAUCUUGUUGCUUUGGCCUUGAUGAUGACACAGCAAAGUAGCUCCUGAUCAGAGUUGGACUAUAAACAUAUAGUUCCGUUGGCCUGGGACUAGAUUCUGAUAGUGAAUCAAUCCAUCUGAUAGUGCAUGUAUACGGAGUCAUUGUGUCGCUGUGGCCGCAAUGAUUAGAUCCCAUCUUGUCGCUUUGGCCUUGAUGCGGAUCACACAAAACCUUGCUUGGGGGGGGAUACUGGUGGUACACGCAUGUUUCUUGUGCUCUCUUCAAGGGGGAGUACUGGUGAGACAUGCAUGAUUACGUCAGUCACUCCCAGCAACGCCCUUCAAUAAGGACUAGGGUUCCGUCGCUUUAUGUCGGACCCCCGGAGAGCUCCACGGUCGCGGGCAAGUGUCUACGUCAGGUACUCAAGUCAACACUGAGAAUCGACGACUGGGACUACCAAGUCGCCGAUUCCGGACCAGGGUAGUGAGUUCUGGUAGACUUUCGACCUGACUCCUAAGAACUCGCCGACUCCACCCUGAAUCGACGACUCCCAUACUUGAGUCGUCGAUUCCUAGUCGUUACUUGACUUGGCCCGCGUCAUUAUGGCACCAUCAAUGGGGCGCCAUAAUGACGUGGGCCCAGGGACAUUGAAUGAGAAACGUCCUAAGGACCCUAUAAAAGGGGCCCUUAGGGGGUCUUCAUUCUCAGGUCAUCUACACUUGACACACCCCACACCAGAGCACAUCUAGGAGCUCGAGUCGCCGACUCUCACAUCUGAGUCGUCGAUUCCCCUCCUCUUCUGCAGGUACAUUGACGUAGAGCGCGCGUCGUGGACUCCAAAGCCUCCAGCCCUCCUCGCAACCCCGCGAGCCCACUGGUAGCAGAUCACGUGCUUCAUCAGGCUCUACGGGAAAAUUUGCCAUCAGCGACAUGUAAUUCGGAUGUCCCUCAGGGAUUUCUUGGAAACACCUACCACAUUGGUUCAGUUCAGGUAACCUCCUGUACGGGUUCUCAAGUCGAUAUUGGGAGAGUUGCACGGGUUCUUCAAUCGCAGGAGGAGGUGGAUAUGGGUAUUGGUUGACGGACAUCGGAGGGCUAUGGACAAGGAACUCUGAUCGCAUAACCGGUUCGUUUGCACGAGAGGUCUGUCCUUGCAUCAUGACGGACUUCCUCUUUCUGAAAGGCCAGCACCCCCGCAUUGCAGAGGUUCUUGGGGGCGAUGGCGUCGAUCAAGGUGACCGACGUCCUGUGUUAACAGGCUUGGGCUCCGGUAAAUCAGCAACAGAACCAUUCUCUGGUUCAUCAUCGCUGAUGAUAAUUAUCUCGUGGAGGUUUCCCCUCCUCCUCCUUACCCGGUUGUUCUCCGGAGCAUUUCUCUUUCGAGAACUCAUUGCGUAACUAUAAACUAACUCAAAAUUAGGUAUAAGUCAUUGCAAUCUAUUAUUGAAGUAUUUGAAAUCUAAAAUUUUGAAAACUAGAUUGGAAUUACCCAAAAUCGAGGGACAAUCACGUAGUAGCAGUGAAAAAAUUUGUAAGAGGAAACCAUCAUAUAACAGUUUAAUAAAAAAGGUAAUCAUCGAAGAAAAGUUUAAUAAAAACAAUAUCUUUCUUGAAUAUGAUGAACCAGGUAGAAAAUAUAUUAUUGAUUUUGGUCGGAAACACAUAGACCAAAUCACAUGUAGUAUACUGCUUAUCAGGAAUUGAAACAAAAAAAUCAGUAGGCAUACGAACAAUAUCCGAUCUACUGGAUAUUUGCCUAAGAAAUUUGGCUAAGAAAUUAAUAAGAAACACCCAUGGACUGAACGUCGAUUGAAAAAUACCUUUUGGUGGAGGAGAUGGAAGAAUGUGGAAAAUCGCUAAUGGAGUGGAGAAUGAGAUGAUUCUUACCGCGACGCAACCCAUGUUUAAAUAGCCAGAUGAAGAACCGGUGUUUGAGUCUUCCAAUCGCCCCUCCCUGUCGUUGCUGGUGUCCGAUGGUCAAAGUCGGUAUGGGUUGAACAAAUCGAAUAUUUGGAAAUGAGAAAAUACUCGAUUAGGUAUGGACUGACGCAGUGACCAGACACCCCCUGUUGGGACGUAGACGUUCAGCGGAUUGCUUGGGGGUGUCCGACAGGACAGACGGGCAUCCGACAUGAUGGGGGGUCUCCGACAAGAUUGGUGUCCGGCAGUUCCUCACGCACCCGUCUGUCCGAAACUGAUGGGAGUGCUCCGACAUAACCUCUGUCCUGACAAUGUAGACCACAACGCUAGUAAGUAGGUUCGGAUAUACAAUUGGAUCUGUGCCGGUCUUGGCAUUGGUAGCGUUGACUCCGGAACGGCCAGGCUAGUGCGUGAGGACCGCCGGAUGGACGUUCGACGGAAGGUCCACAGGGGACGGCCACCCGUCUGUGAAGCCUAGUGUAUAUAUAGAUAGAGAUAUUUUAGCAUGCAGCCACAAUCAGUCGAUCUAGUCAAUUUUUGAAUAAAAAAAAUCAACAGUGUAAAUCGUAGGAUUUGUAAUCAAUAGUCGAUCUUCAAAUAUCCCAAUAUAAAUAUCUCACCAGAAGCGAUCGAACAAUGGUCGUAGUCAUAUUAAUUUUCAAUGCCAUGGCUCGUGGAUUUCUUUCUUGAUUCUAUAUUUUCAUAACUUAUAAUGGAUCGAACAAGCAGUGUAACAAUUUAUUCUUUCAUUCAACUUCAAAGUAUUGGAUAUAUUUCACUAGAAAAUUGCAAUCAUGGUCUGAUGAUGAAUUGAUGAUUAUAUAACAUAUAUAAUUCAGAAAAUAUAACAUCAUGAUCAUGUAUACCAAAGAUUCAAAGAUGGUAAAUAGAAUAUUCAAUAAUUGGCAGCGUUCAUGCGUCUCGAAAUAAUACCUGGAGCAGUAGAAUAUUAAACGAGAUUAUACAACACAGUAAUUAGUAAUAUUUAUAUAUUUUUUAAUAAUAAUAAUAUUUAUUUAUUUUGAAGAGAGAUUGCAACCCUACGAUUUCGAAUUCCAUCGAAUCUCAACUGUCGAUAGAUCGCUAUACGAUUUUAUCUAAUCCAUUUUCUUCUUUUACCAGCACUGAUCGGUUUCCCAAUUUCUCGUCUUCAACCCGGACGUAACCGGAGAAGUUCUCGGCGAUACGGGAUACCCCCUCCUAGAGGAGUAAGAUGAGAACGAAGCCGAUUUGGUGUAGAUUUUGCGGGUCGAAUUAGCAAGAAGAAGAGUCCGAUCGUAUUCUUCCCUCUUUGUUGGGUCGGAAAGGGUGGAGUAAGCAUCCUGAAUCCUCAUGAACUGAUCGGCGGAUUUUUCCUUGGUAUCUCCAGAAGCCACAUCGGGAUGGUACACUCUUGCCAAAUUCCGGUACGCUGAUUUGAUCUCCGGACCUGUCGCGUAAGCACCGACGCCGAGAACGUCGUACAGAGAUGGACUCGGCGGAGCAGUCACGACCGAAAAAUAGGGACUGUAGUUAUAACUCGUGUGAGUGGAGGUCUCUUUCUCGGUCGUGGUAGAAUAAGAUGCCGUGAUCGUCGCAGGACGGCGGGGGGAAGCGAUCGGCGAAAUCGAAGGUGGACGGUGGAGAUCGAGUUGUGAAGGACAGAUGACGCUGAAGGAGGACAUCGACGGUGCAGAUGUAUUGAUCAUGGCGCACUGCGUGUUGUGAUUAUGGUUUGUUACAACUUACAACUCGUAAUUCAAGUAAUAAUUCAAGUAAAAAAAAAGAUAAAAUUAGAAUGCUUGCCGUGGCGUGAGGGAUUUAUAUUAAUAGAAAGAUGGUCUGGAAAAUUUGGCAAUUGGAAUUUGGAAUCUUGCUGUUAAUUUAAUUUAAAAUAUCGAGUCGAUCAACUUCAGGUAUGGUCAAAUUUGCAAAAUAAAUCUUAUAAUUAUUUAUAUUUUAUAGAUGUGUCCGGAUACAGGUUCAUCCUGAUCUAUAUGUUUUUUUGUUUGUCUUUUUUUGAAAUUAUUUAACAUUCGUUUGAAUAAAUCAAAUUGUUCGUUAUGACUUUUUAUGUGAAGACGGUGCUAGAAACUAUAAAUGAUCAUAAUGCCAUUUUUUUCUUGAUGGAAGAAAAUGACAACGAUCAUAUCUUUAAACAAUGAAAUAAAUGACGAGUGAUUGAGUGCUGACCCCGCGUUUGGUGGAUAUUAUUGAUAGCCGUAAUUGGAUAUCAAUAAGGGUAAAAAAAUUAGUGGUUAACUUAAAUCAGUACUAAUUAAUGCUUAAACUCUCUUUUCAAUAUUAUAAAGUAACCUUUUUGAUUUUUUAAACCUACCUAAUUGUUCGGUAGUUAGUUGUUGCUAACCUCCAUAAUCCAUCGUCGGCGUGGAUGAGCAUCAGAAGGGCGUCACAUUGAUGCAGCGCCCUCUGUUCAUCCGCGGAUCUAUGUCUUCUUCUGAAUUUUCCCUCGUCAAACCCAAUUCCGGCCAUCUCGAUGCAUCUCCACAAUACCACCUUUCUCGGGUCGGCCGUGGCUUUCAUUCUCCUCUGAUUAUGUUGCUUCCAGACGUGGAAUAUAUAGGAUUAUGCCGAACAUGUUCCAUUGCAAUCCCCAUGCCGGCGAUCCCAUCGUGACUCUGUUUAGUACUCGACCUGCAUUUUCAAAGGUGUUUGCGUUUGUCAAGUCUACUAGUGAUCCCGUUGCUUCCAUUCCUUCUUUUAGUAUCCAUCUUGUGUAUUCGCAAUUGAAGAACCGAUGGCCUGCACUUUCUUGUUCGACCUCGCAUAGGCUGCAUUUCUCACAAAUUGUCAUUCCUUGCAUGAUGAUCAGCAUGUCCUUUGCUGGCAGGUUGCCCCAUCUAAUACGCCACAGAUUGAGCACGACCUUCUCGAUCUUGUUCUUCCAUAUUCCUUUGGCGAGGUCGUCCUUUGGGUGCUCUGGCUACAGAGUCGACUUCGCGUUCUUGAUUGAGUGUCUUGUUCCUUUGCCCAACUAAGUUUUUAAAUUGUUUGGUCGCAGGUUCACGCAUUUUGCUAUGUGGGCUUUCUGCCGAAGAGUGGCCUUCCAAGUCGACGAGUCUCUUUGUCGCUGCUCGAUUGCGUGGAGUGGUCUAGCUUUGAUGUAUAUUCUGCACAUCUAUGAGCUCCAGAUCCCCUCCCUCUCCCACAUACGACACACUCUGUCCACGAUAGCGACCAAUUGGGUCGUUUUAUAAUCCCGAACUCCCAUAUCACGCGCCCUGCCGUUUAGUUUUCACCAUAUUUUUCCAAGCUACCUCCUUUUGAGUGCCCCAUAUGAACUUGUAGUAAUCGCUUAGAUUGCGUCGAGAGCAGCCUGAGGGACGAUGCUACUCUGAGUCAGGUAUCUGAAUUUCCACUGGAAUAUCCAGUCUACCAGUUGGGUUCGGCCUACGUAUGACAGCUUCUUUGUGCUCCAUCGUGUUAAGAUGUUCCUGAGCUCCGUCAGUAGUCCAUCACAAUCUCUAUACCGCACUAAUUUCCCAGUCAGGGGGUACCCAAAUACUGGAUUGGCAAUUCUCUUGUCUGGAAGCCAAGAAUGUCGGCCAGCUUCUCCUUGUCGUGGACUCGCUUUGAGAAGAUCGCAAAGCUCUUCUCGCUGUUGAUGUUUAGACAUGAGAAGGUAGUGAAUUCGUUAGGUAUCGCUUUUAGCGCUCUGAAAGACUUGCUUGAUGCUUGACAGAAAAAGGCUAUGUCAUCGGCGAAUGCGAGAUGGCUUUCGAACAUCACCCCUCCUGAUGUAUAAAGCUCGAUUUUCCUGCUUCGUGUCACAUGAGAGACGAGCUUGGAUAGGUAGUCCCCCACUACGACGAAUAGGAGUGGUAAGAGCGGAUCGUCUUGCCUGAGUCCUCUCGUCGGCCUGAUAAUGUCGGUCGGCGAGCCCUCCACUAACGCCGAUAAUGGUGAUGUCGUGAAAUGAGACAUUAUCAUUUGUCGGAAUGCCUCAUCGAUACCAAGUAGCUCCAGUACUAUCUCAAUUGCAUCCCAUCUCAACGUAUCGAAUGCCUUUGAAAAAUCAAUCGUGAUGCAAGCUCGCCGGGACAUGCUUUUGCAAUUAUAAGAUUGAGUGAAUUUUUGCUCGAGGCCAAUAGCAUCCGUGAUUUUUCUCCCCUUGAUGAAGGCUAUUUGGUUUGGGAUGAUUAUUCCUAACAAUACCUUCAUUAUAGCCUUGAAACCAGUAGCUUGGUGAAUAUCUUGCAUAAUACCCCAAGACACGAUAUCGGUCUGUAGUCCUCAAGCCUUUUCGAUGUCGUUUUUUUUUGGAUCAGGGUUAGCACUGCUAGAUUUAGAGACCGGAGCAUUCGCCGAAGAAAUAAAGAAUUGUAGUUAUUAUAUCACUCUUUACCGUGUUCCAGUGGAAUGCUAGGAUUUUCGAUGUGAUUCCGUCCAUCCCGACGCUUUUCCGUUUGGCAUGCUUAUGAGGGAAUCCCAGACUUCCUCUAUGUUUUUUUGUUUGUCUUUUCUUGAAAUUAUUUAACAUUCAUUUGAAUAAAACAAAUUGUUCGUUAUGACUUUUUCGUGAUGGUAUGCCAUUUUUUUCUUGAAAGAAGAAAAUGACAACGAUCAUAUCUUAAACAAUGAAAUAAAUGGAGUGAUUGAGUGCUGACCCGGCGUUUGGUAGAUAUUAUUUGAUGGUGUGCUGACUUACGUUAAAAAAUUCACACACACAACUCUAUAUUAUUCUUUCUUGAUAAUUUUCAACCCCCUUUUUUGUUGGAUCAGGGAAGAUAUUUAUAAAACAUUUUCUUGGACCUUCUGGACCUUAUGAUCUGUUCGGCCACAUUAUUGAUAACCGUAAUUGGAUUUAUUCAAUUACUAAUUUUCCAUAUGAUAAAUGAUAAUUAUAAUAAUAAUAAUAAUAAUAAUGAUGAUUACAGAAAAAACGCGUAAACAAUUUGAAUUUUGGUCUUUUGGACCACAAAAAUAUUUGGACUCGAUUAAUGUGUAAAUUUUGUAAUCUUGAAAAAAAGUAUUUAUGGGCCAAUUGCAUAAAAUUCUUCAGAUUACUGUAAUAAUAAAUCUAACUACACUCCCGUUACAUUUCAGUUGUAUAACAGAUAUCGAUUGGGAGGUGGUGCAGAGAGAGGGAGAGAUAUAUUGCCGGAGGAAACCCUCAAAUGGCAUCGCCGAAACCAGAGAAGCCUUGGAAGGCGGAGUACGCCAAGUCGUCGAGGUCGUCAUGCAAGUCGUGCAAGAGCCCUAUCAGCAAGGAUGUCUUGAGGUUUGGGAAGAUGGUUGUCGCCACGCAGUUCGAUGGAUUCAUGCCUGUAAAACCUUUUUCUCUGUCCAUCAGUUGAAAUGCUAUUCUUCGUCUUUUUUUUUGAAGCAGCUUCGUCUUUUUUUUGUUUGCUUGCAAUCUUGCAUUAUUUCUUGAUAUUCUUCAGUCUUCCCCCAACGAUCGUUCGGUUUCCUAGGGUUUAUGCUCUGAUGAUAUAGUGCAAUGAGUGAGUGCAUUGAAUGAGUGGUAAGAGGUAAAAUACGUAGAGUGGUAGCUUUUCUAGAUGGUGUCAUCUUUGAACUGUUUAUAUGCAAAGGAUUUUAGAUAGGCCUGUAAAUCAGUCGGAUCCGGAUACCAUAUUCAGAUAAUCCGAAUAAUAUCUGGAUAGGAAAAUCCGAAUCGGAAUCUAUUAGUGAUAUGAUACAUAUAUAUGAUGUGAUGCAUGUAUAUGAUGUGAUGCAUGUAUAUGAUGUGAUGCAUAUAUGAUGUGAUAUUAUGAUGCAUAUGUGAUACAUAUAUGAUAUGAUACAUAUGUGAUACAUAUAUGAUAUGAUACAUAUAUAUGAUACGAUACGAUAUGAUAUGAUACGAUACGAUAUGAUACAUACAUAUGAUAUGAUACAUAUAUAUGAUAUGAUAUGAUGCGAUACAAUAUAUAUUAUUGUAGUAUUAAGUUGUAUAUAUAUGAUACUCAUUGUGAAUGAAAAGGGAUCGAGUAUCUCUCCUACUUAUUUACAUCUCUUAUAUGGUAUCAGUUUGUUAGAGAGAGAGAGCUUCCCCGAUCCUGGAUUUUCUCCUCAACAGUCCUUCAUCUUCUUGAAUUCCGCUGCAAUGGAGGACGACACUGUUGAUAGGAGUGGAGUCGCAAAUUCAGAUGUUUCCAAGAUUGUUUUCAUCAAGCAUCUGAAGACUGUGACGCUGGACCACUCAAACUACUUCGCUUGGCGCGCGCAAUUCGUCGUCAUCUUGCGAGGACAUGAGCUGCUGGAUUUCGUCCAUGAGAGAAUUGACCUAUUGGAUGCUAUGUUCAGCAAACAGGAUCAAUUGAUCCAAGGAUGGCUACUAUCGGCCAUGUCUGCACCGAUGCUCGCAUAUGUAACUACAUGUAGCACAUUGGCUGAGGUAUGAAAUGUUUUAUAGAUCGAAUUUGCAUCGAGCUCUAGGUCUCUAGUGCUUACGUUACGGCAGAAAAUUCAAUCGGUUAAGAAAGGGAGUCGAUCGGUCUCCGAUUACAUUGUGGAGAUCAAUUCCCUCGUGGAGGCACUAGCAAUUGCAGGCGAGAAGAUAGAUGAUCCAAAUCUUGUAUUACUUGUCUUGCAAGGUCUUGGAGAGGAAUAUGAGUCUCUCAUCCAGAAUGUUACAUCAAGAGAUGGUGAGAUUACAUAUCGCAAACUCCAAUCUAUGCUAACUGAUUUGGAAGAACGAGAAUUCAGAAGAACAAAUUCCACAUCUAUGACGAUGUUGUCACUGAGGUAAAGGAGAAGGGAUAUAAGGAUCUUAAAUCUAUACCAUGUCAAAUGUGCACAAGAAAAGGACAUGGGGCCCUACACUGUUAGAAUAGGAUCAAUUUAUCCAAAUUUUCUCCUACUCAUGGUCGAACUCUGUCAUCUACUGGCAGUCUGGCCCAACUAAGGUAGCCACUACAUCAGCAAACAUGAUUUAUGAUAAUUUUGUUUGGUAUCCUGAUGCAGAGCAUCUUAAUGCAUUAUAUAAUAAAAGUGCUUAUUAUAAUUUUCAGCAUGCCAAUAAAUGCCUCAACCCUGGAAUUAAUAGCAUUGGGUCUCAGCAUGCCAAUAAAUACCCCAACCCUGGAAUUAAUAGCAUUGGGUUUCAGCAUGCCAAUAAAUGCCCCAACCCUGGAAUUAAUAGCAUUGGGCCUCAACUGAAAGGACACACUCCUGAACAUACCCAAGCUUGGCUCGAGCCAUUGUGUUUCACCUUUGAAGCCAUUUAGACUCACAUUGUGGAGGCUGUCCACUACACACAAUGUGAGUAUAAAUACCAAGUGGACCCAAAGGAGGGUUACUUUUUGCUUGAUAUUUGUGAGGUAUAUUUUCUCUCUCUUCUCCUUGUGACUUUCUAUCUCCCAAUUCUUCUUCUUUUUUUCUUCCUUCUUUUUUUCUGUAAUUUCGGCCAGGACAAAAACCAAUUGGUGGAUUCAUCACUCUUCUCACCCUUCAGAACAGAGUCACAUUGUUCUGCAUUAAGUGGUAUCAGAGCUUGCGAUCCAUGGCUGAUCAGUUUGUUUCCAGACAAGAGUUUGAUCAGCUCACUCAGACACUAGCAGAUCUAGUUGUUGCUGUGAAUGAUCUGCGUCGAUCAUCUGUCCAGCCACCUCCAGUGCCGCCAAGACCUCCCUCAAUUCGAUGGCCAUAUGCACAUUGAUACUUUCUUGGACUGGAUUUCUGUAGCAGAUAAAUAUUUUGAUUAUAUGAAUACUCCCGAGUCAAGGAAGGUAAAAUUGGUAGCACUAAGGUUAAAGGGUACUGUUCAUAGCUGGUGGGACCAAACAGUAUACCUAAGAGCUAAGCAUCAAAAGAGACCUGUGAAGACGUGGGACAAGAUGAGGAAGCUCAUGAGACAGAGAUUUUUGCCCACAGAUUAUGAGAGCACACUCUUCAUUCAGUACCAACAGUGCAAACAGGGCAAUAGAACAAUUUUUGAUUAUGCAAAUGAUUUUCACAGGUUAUCAUCAAGGACACAUCUCGAAGAAUCUGAAGAACAAUUGGCCACCAGGUUUGUGAGUGGGUUGAAAGAAAAAUUACAAUAUAAAAUGGCUGUCAACCCUCAGUACAGCCUAUCGAGUGCAAUUAAUUUGGCUGAAAGGUUAGAGCAACACUCGAAUAAAUUUUAUAAAGCAAAUUCUGGUGCAUCCUCUAGUAAAACAGUAGCUGAAAAGGACAAGGGAAUUAUACCUACUCCUAAAAGGAAGGAAAUUACUACAGGUACAAUUGAUCCAGCAAUGGUAAAAAUUAAAUGCUACCGAUGUCAGGAGUUUGGGCACAAAUCAAACACUUGUCCAAAGAGGGGACAAGUCCGAUUAUUUGAGGACAGAGGACCUAUUGAGGACUAGCAUACAGUGCAAUCUGAUUCUGAACCUGAAAAUGAGGACUAUCCCGAUGAAGGACCAUCUUUGUCAUGUCUGAUUCAUAAAACUUACAGUGUCCUACCUAUCACUGAUUUAUCUCAGAGGUCCAAUCUGUUCAGGACCAGGGGAACUAUUCAUGGCAAGGUAUGCACCAUCAUUAUUGAUAAUGGGAGUACAGAUAACCUUAUCUCAGAAAAAGCAGCAAAGAAGUUGUGGCUCGAAUUUGAAGACCACCCCCACCCUUAUACAGUGGGGUGGAUCAGAAAUGACGACAAAGUACAAGUGAAGUAUUGCUGUAAAGUGCCAUUGUCAAUUGGAAAAAAUUAUAAAGGAGUAGUACGUUGUGAUAUAGUGGACAUGGAUGCAACCCAUGUGCUCCUUGGGAGGCCUUGGCAGUUUGAUAUGGAUGCUAAUCAUAGAGGACGCCUGAAUCAAUAUAUUAUCAAGGUAGAUGACAGAAGAGUUGCCUUGUUACCUCUUCCUCCGAAUUCAGAGACAACACAACAGAAACCUAAUUUUCUGAUCCAAACUCAUAAGAUUUUUGAGAAAGAAUUAAUGACUGAAUUGCAGAGUUUUGCCCUAAUCUCUAAAGGAAAAGACAAUGUGAUGGAUGACUCAAUUCCAUAUUGUGUGACAAACAUCUUGAAUGAAUUUCCAGCUGUAACUUCAGACAAAACAGCAGAACUUCCAUCUAUCAGAGAUCUGGAUCACAGAAUAGACUUCAUACCUGGAGCUUCUAUACCCAAUCUGCCUCACUACCGAUUGAGUCCUAAAGAAGCUGAUAUCCUAUAAAGUCAAGUAGAAGAGUUACUCAAGGAUGGACUUAUUAGACCUAGCAUAAGUUCAUGUGCUGUACCUGCCCUAUUAGUACCCAAGAAGAAUGGUGAAUGGAGAUUUUGUGUGGACAGCAGAGCCAUUAACAAAAUAACCAUCAAGUACCGUUUCCCUAUUCCGAGGUUAGAAGAACUCCUUGACCAAUUAAGUGGCGCACAAUUUUUCACCAAAUUAGACCUCAAGAGUGGCUAUCAUCAGAUCCGAAUCAGAGGUUGAGAUGAGUGGAAAACUGCCUUCAAAACAAGGCAAGGUCUUUAUGAAUGGCUUGUGAUGCCAUUUGGGCUAUCCAAUGCCCCUUCUACCUUCAUGAGGUUGAUGACAGAAAUUCUUAAACCCCUCCUAAGAGCUUGUGUAGUGGUGUAUUUCGAUGACAUACUUAUAUUCAGCCACUCAAGAGAUGAUCAUUUAAGAGAUAUCAGAAAGGUACUUACCAUCCUUGACAACAACAAACUUCGGUUAAAUUUAAAAAAAAUGUGAAUUCUUAGUCCAGGAAGUAUUCUUUUUGGGUUUCAUAGUUGGUAGGCAGGGUUUAAGGGUAGAUCCACAGAAAACUACAGCAGUUGAUAAUUGACCUCAACCCUUCAACGUCACUGAAGUCAGAAGUUUCUUAGGCUUGGCCUCCGUCUAUAGAAGGUUCAUCAAGAAUUUCAGCUCUAUUGCAAGUCCAAUUUCUGAUUGCUUAAAGAAGGGUCAAUUCCUGUGGUCAAAAGAGGCAGAAAUAGCUUUUAAGUUGCUUAAAGAAAGGUUGAAAUCAGCUCCUGUUCUAGCACUUCCUGAUUUUGAAAGAGUGUUUGAAUUAGAGUGCGAUGCAAGUAUUAUGGGAGUUGGGGCAGUUCUGAGUCAAGGGGGACACCCCGUAGCAUUCCACAGUGAGAAGUUAUCUAUGGGAAGAAGAAACUGGACAACUUAUGAACAGGAGUUGUAUGCACUAGUUAGAGCUUGUAAGGUGUGGGAGCCAUAUCUGAGUGGGAGGGAAUUUGUGGUAUCUACUGAUCACCUAACAUUAAAACACAUUAACAAGUCAGCAAACACGAACAGAAUGCAUGCAAGGUGGAUUUCGUAUCUUCAAAAAUUCGAUUUCACAAUCAAGCACCAAGCUGGAAAGAAUAACACAGUUGCUGAUGCACUCAGUAGAAGAAGAUUUGUACUCACUAUCAUGAGGGCAACAAUAACAGCAUUUGAUGCUAUCAAAACUUCGUAUGACUGUGAUGAUGAUUUUUCUGAAAUCUGGAAAGAAUGUGAAGCUGGAGAACAGCCAACAGGAUUCAAAAUUGAAGAGGGUUUUCUAUUCAAACAGAACAGACUAUGCAUCCCGAAAACUUCACUUCGAUUACAGUUAAUACAGGAGACACAUGCUGGGGGUUUAGCAGGACACUUUGGAAGAGACAAAGUGAUUUCUCAGCUGGAAUCGAAAUUUUAUUGGCCAUCUUUGAAGAGGGACACAGAAAAAUUUAUUCAGAGGUGCCAAACGUGUCAAGAAGUAAAGGGAGUUAGGCAAAAUACUGGAUUAUAUAUGCCUCUACAAAUUCCAACUCAGCCUUGGACAGAUCUUUCUAUGGAUUUCGUACUUGGACUGCCCAAAACUAAAGCUGGAUUUGAUUCUAUAUUUGUAGUAGUAGAUAGAUGCCAAUAAAUGCCUCAACCCUGGAAUUAAUAGCAUUGGGUUUCAGCAUGCCAAUAAAUGCCCCAACCCUGGAAUUAAUAGCAUUGGGCCUCAACUGAAAGGACACACUCCUGAACAGAUCCAAGCUUGGCUCGAGAUGGCUCGAGCCAUUGUGCUUCACCUUUGAAGCCAUUUAGACUCACAUUGUGGAGGCUGUCCACUGCACACAAUGUGAGUAUAAAUACCAAGUGGACCCAAAGGAGGGUUGCUUUUUGCUUAAUAUUUGUGAGGUAUAUUUUCUCUCUCUUCUUCUUGUGACUUUCUAUCUCCCAAUUCUUUUUCUUCUUUUUUCCUUCUUUUUUCUGUAAUUUCGGCUAGAACAGAAACCAGUUGGUGGAUUCCAAUCUGAUUUCUUCCCUCUUUACUGAUUAUCAAGAAAAGAUUCAUCACGCUUCUCACCCUUCAGAACAGAGUCACAUUGUUCUGCAUUAUAUCCAGACUCAGGUGCCACAAAUCAUGUGACAAAUCAGGUGGCAAAUAUCCAGAAAAUGUCACAAUAUGAAGGUAAUCGAAUGAUUUUUGCUGCAUAUGGUAAUCCUAUGUCUAUUACACAUACUGGAUCUUCUGCUCUUAUUUCUAAUAACAAGAAUUUUGUUAUUAAUGAUUUGUUAUCUGUUCCAUCGGCAUCCAAGAACUUGCUAUCUGUGAAGAAAUUUUGCACUGAUAAUUUUGUAUCUAUUGAAUUUCAUCCACAGAAGGUAAUGGUAAAGGAUCUGGAUUCAGGAGAGUUACUAAUUGAAGGAGAUUCUGGUGAUGGAUUAUACAAGCUUCUUGUCCAAAUAAAUCAAAUGGAGGUCAAUCAAGUGAUAGAAGGGAAGGCUACGGUUAGAACUUGGCACCAUCGAUUGGGACACCUCCACACUAGAGCUAUGAAGUCAAUGGCUAAGAAAAACAUCAUUAAAUUUUCAGGUAUUUGUAAUGAUGAUAUUAAUUGUGAUUUUUGUCAUAUCAGCAAAAUUCACAAAAAUCCACAUAUAUCAAGAAAUACGAUUUAUGCCAAUCCUUUGCAGCUUAUAUUCGCUGAUGUAUGGGGUCCAGCACCAUGUAGUUCUAAUGAAGGGUAUAAAUACUAUUUGAACUUUGUAGAUGCAUCGACAAAUUAUAAUUGGCUAUAUCUCCUUCGAGCAAAAUCAGAAGUUUCUGAAUGUUUUCUCAGAUUUCGUGUUUUGGCAGAAAAACAAUGCGAUUUUAAGAUCAAGGCAUUGCAAACUGACAAUGCCAAGGAGUUCUUAAAGCUAGAUGAAAUUCUGAAUAAAAGUGGAAUUGUGCACAGAUUGAGUUGUCCUCACACUCACCUACAGAUAGGUAAAGUUGAGAGAAGACAUCGACAUAUUGUCGACACUGGACUUGCUAUAUUAAAGCAUGCUAGCUUGCUUGCCCACUGAAUUUUGGGAUUAUGCAUUUAUGACUGCAAUUCACAUCUACAAUCGCAAUCCUACUCAGUUGUUAGAAGGCAAAUCACCAUUGGAAGCUUUAUUUCAACAGUCUCCGGAAUAUGGUAAAUUAAGGGCAUUUGGUUGUAAAUGUUUUCCUAAUUUACGUCCAUAUCGAACUAAUAAAUUGCAGGACAAAUCAAAGCCUUGCAUUUUCUUAGGAUAUCCGACUACAUGUGAAUUGUGAUGGUUAUAUAUGUAUGAAUCCCGAUGAUGGGAAGGUGUAUAUUUCCAGAGAUGUUAUAUUCAGAGAAGAUGAUUUCUUUUUGAGUGAGAAAUUAAAUAAUAUUUUUCAGGCCCCUAAUCAGGCGAUUCAGAAUGCAGGGAAUGUCAUAACAGUGGAAAAUAUUUCCCAAUCUGAUGUAGCACAUCCAUAAUGGCACUAGGAAAGAGGCCAUUUCCUUUAAAUCAAACAUGGACCAAAAACCCAUUUCCUUUAAAGAAGGCCCAUCAUUACAUGGAGAGUAUAUAUAUGGAGGAUAGAGGAUGGAAUUGGCAGUUUUUGAUUUAUUUGAUAAAGUUGUUAUUUCCUGGACAGGUAAUAAACCUUCUAUUUUCUCUUUCUCUUCUCUUGUAUUUUCUGGUGGAUUCCAGUGUUUUUCCCUCAUCUUCUGUGGAUUCAGAAGAUUUAUCAAGCACCUGAUCUUCACUAAGAUCAGCUGCAUCACAAUCAGACAAUGCAAUGGCAAGCACAGAUGUGAACACAAGUCCAGAGAACAUAUCUGAUUCAGUUCAUACUACUCAGUCUGUUCAUCCUGAGCUUAUUAGUAGAAGUACUUCUUCUCAAAACAGUCCAUUAAUUCAGACUCAAGAUGUCACUCUGACAUCUCAUUCAGAUCCAAUUAUUUCAGUUGAUCAAAUAUCUUCUCCAAUUAAUCCAGUUGAUUAGAUAUCCUCUCCAAUUUCUUCAGAUUCAAGCUCUAGAGAUGAGUUCUCAAUUUCAAAAUCAGUAAAAUUAACUGAUUAUGAGAGGCGCCCCUUCACUAGAGGAGCUGCAGGGAUUAAGAAGCCUAAUCCUAGGUAUGCAUUGUCUAUAUCAGCUUCUGAAAUUUCAGUUCCAUCUUCAGUCAAGCAAACUUUGGAGAAUGAAGGAUGGAAAUCAGCUAUGAAGAAAGAAUUGGUACCAAGGAUGCCAACAGACAAUGUGAUUAAUUCUAUAUGGCUCUUUAAAGUCAAAGAAAAAUCAGAUGGCAGUGUGGACAGAUUGAAGGCAAGGCUAGUGGCAAAUGGGAGUAAUCAGAUUGAAGGUAGAGAUUACAACGAGACAUUCAGUCCAGUUGUAAAAUCUGUAUCUAUUUGUGCAGUAUUAACUAUUGCAGUCUCAAGAGGUUGGAAACUUAAUCAAAUUGAUAUAGGUAAUGCAUUUUUACAUGGUCAAUUGGAAGAGAGAAUUUGAAUGCGUCAACCUAAAGGCUUUAUUGAUGAAUCAUGUCCGAAUCACGUCUGCCUAUUGAAGAAAGCUAUCUAUGGUCUCAAACAAUCUUCAAGGAUGUGGUUUAACAGACUAAAAAUGGUGCUGAAUUUAAUGGGUUUUAUACCAAGCCAAUCUGAUCCUUCAUUGUUUGUGCACUUAGGUGAAUGUACAAUUUAUAUACUUGUCUCUGUUGAUUAUAUGAUUAUCACAGGAUCAGACACAGCUAAGGUUGAUGAAGUGUUUGCAAAAUUGGGUGAAGAAUUCGCUGUCCACAAGCUAGGAGAGUUGAAUUAUUUUUUGGGUAUUAGAGUCCAAAAACAUUUACAUGGGCUAUUCUUAGAUCAGCAAUUAUAUCUUGUGAACUUGCUGAAAUUCAAUAAAUUUGACAAUUUAAAACCAUCUCCUACUCCAAUGGAAGCAAAUUCAGACCUAUAUUCAGAAGAAGAUAUGAUCUCAAAUCCUACUGAUCAUCGAAGAAUUGUAGGAUCGUUGCAGUAUCUUACUUUAUCACGUCCUGACAUCUCCUUUGCGGUAAGUAAAUUGGCUCAACAUUUGGAGAAACCCAAACCUAUUGACUGGACUGCUAUGAAGAGAGUAUUGAGAUAUCUCUCUGGUACUCAAAACAUGGGAAUUAUCUUGAGAAAAGUAGCUGAUUUUAACAUUACAACAUACUGCGAUGCAGAUUGGGCCAAUGAUGUGGUUGACAGAAGAAGUCAAACAGAAUACAUGAUAUAUAUUGAGGAUUCUUUAAUUUCCUGGGCUUCUAAAAAGCAGUCUACUGUUGCUAGGUCAAGCACAAAAUCUGAAUUUAGAGUUAUUGCAUUAACAAUCGCUGAGAUUGAAUGGAUGAAUUCUCUAUUGAAAGAAUAGGGAAUUUAUCUAAAAUCACCUUACAAGUUGUUUUCUGAUAAUUUAGGAGCAACUCAUUUGGCUGCCAAUCCGGUUUAUCACUCCAAAAUCAAACAUGCAGCCAUGGAUUUCAGAUUUGUUUUAGAAAGAAUGGAGGACAAAAUUCUUGUUGUGCAACACAUACCGAAUGUUCUACAACAAGCAUAUAUUCUCAUUAAAACAUUGAAGCCCAAACUCUUCAAAGAUCUCAAGGACAAACUGAUUUGUUCACAUCAUCAGACUUGAGGGGGGAGUAUUAGUGAUAUAAUACAUAUAAAUGAUAUGAUAUAUAUGAUACGAUACGAUACCGAUUAGUGAUAUGAUAUAUAUUAUUGUAGUAUUAAGUUGUAUAUAUAUGAUACUCAUUGUGAAUGAAAAGGGAUCCGAGUAUCUCUCCCACUUAUUUACAUCUCUUAUAGAAUUUGAAUUCGGAUAAAUUUCUGAAUAUCCGAAAAUCCGAAUCUAGAUAACUUUUUAUAAAUUUUUUAAAAAAUCUUAAAAUAAAAUUAUAAAAUUAUAAGAUCACCCUGAAUAAAGUUAAUUAAUAGUCAAUUAAUCACCUUAAAAUCCGGACAAUCCAGAUAUCCGGAAGUCAAUUUAUUUUUAUUCGGAUAUCCGAAUCCGGAAUUAUCAACCGAAUUCAGAUUUUAACGGCGGAUCAACUGAAUUCGAAUAAACAUAUUUGAAAAUGGAUACGAAUAUAUAUUUUGGUAUACCAUUUACAUGCUUAAUUUUAGAUGUAUAUUGUUAUGUCUUAAUGUGAUAUUUUAAAAAAAACACAAUACUUUUGGAGUUUUUGUUUACAUUAGAGUAACUUAUUAUUACCGGAACACCAGAUCAUACAAUAUUUUUCUGUUUAUGCCAUAUUUGAGGUUCGUUGUUCUUGACAAUCACAUUAUUUUUUUAUUUGAUAAAGAUGUAAUAUUAUUUAGAAUAUAUGUAUAUAUAUUUUUUGUUUUUUAAUGACAUUUAUCUCAUGAGUUUUUGGCCUUUUGCUUUUGUAACAAGUCAGAUGUGGAAUCAUUCAGCUUGCAUAUUCAAGAAGGCAAAUCAAAUAAAAUCGUAUGUAUAAGUUUUUUUUUUUAUCUAAGUCUUAUUCUCAAAUACUGUUUUUUUUAUAGAAUUACUGUAUUAGUAGAGAUCAAAUAAUACGAAAUUAUGACCUGACAUGAUCACACCAGACCCCCAAGCGUUUGUGUUCAUCGUAGACUCUUGUAUCCGAUCAGGGUUCAGGUCUCCUGACCCUUUCAUACAUAUUUCUCAUAAGUGUGGUUUUACAGUUUGGGUUUUAGUCACAUAACCGUUCGGAAGCCUUAUCUUAUUAUUGAGUGUAAUCUCAAUAGUCAAACCCAAAUUUCAAUUAUAAUGAUUUUAACGUUACUAUCAUAUACUAAUUUCAUUACAAGUUGUCGGUUAUAUUUUCUAACAAAUUUACAUUUCACUGACUAUCUAACUGGUGUUUUUUUUAAUAUCACAAUUUUUAGGAUUGACGAUGUCGAAGGUGCAGACUUGCUUCGCUGGGAAGAUCAACAAAAGAUAAAAGAUUACGUCGAGUCAGGAUCCAUGGGUACAAAAGAUGGCUCUUUGAGUACAAAAGUUAGUGAUGGGGAAUGUGGAAUUGAGAUAUCAAAAUCCUCACGUUCGACAUGUAGGAAGUGUAAUGAAAAGAUUAUGAAAGGAAUGGUAGGAUCAUUAGAGUAUAUCAAUUUAUUUCCUAUAUCAUUUUAUACUAUGUUAAUUAGGAUAUUAAGUGAUAGUCAAGGCGAUUAUUAUUUUUUUUUAGGUUCGGGUAUCACUCAAGCCUCAUGGACAAGGUGCAAAAGGUUUAGCUUGGCAUCAUGUGAAAUGCUUCUUUGAUAUGUCACCAUCGGCAGUGCUUGAAAAGUUGUCAGGUUGGGAGAUCCUUCCUACUCAAGAUAAAGAAGAGGUUUGUUCUACGGUGAAAAAUAUUUCGGCACUUAAUAAAAAAGGUUACAGAUUCUUAAUCACAUACAAAAUAUCUAAGAUCUGUGGAUAAAUUGAAUCCUCAAAGUUUUUAUGUUUUCAAUUAAUCAUUCUUCAUCUGGUUUCAGAAUCCGAAGCUCAAGAGAAUAAAGCUGACAGUUUGGAUAAAAAAAAUUUAAAAGCUACCAAACGCAGCAAUGUUAGCGUUGAACAUGAGUCAAAGACCCCAAAAAUAGGAGAAAAUACUUCUGCUGGUGGGAUAUCUAGGAAAGGCACUGCUAGCAGUUCAAGUGCUAUUGAUUUGGAGAAAAUGUUGGAAGAACAAACUAAAAUACUCUGGGCUAUAAAAGACGAGCUUAAAAAGAAUGUGACAGUUAGAGAGUUGCGAGAGAUGCUUGAUGUCAAUGGGCAAGAUUCUGGGGGUUCAGAAUAUGAUUUAAGGGAACGUUGGUAAGCUUACAAGAGCGAUAUUGUGAUCAAUAUUUCAUAUUUAGAUAUUUUUAUGAUAAUAAAUUUUAUUAAUAAUACAAGAUUGGAUUAUUAAUAGUCAGGGUAGAGUUUUGGAAUGACUCGCAUAGUGACCAUGCUGCAAUGCUCAUCUCAAUUACGCAAAUGACACAGAAACCAAAGCCUUUCAGAUUGUUCGAUUCAUGGUUGAAGGAGCAAGAGUUCCUCGACCUAGCUAGGAGAGGACUAUCUAAACCAAUCUGCGGCAAUGGACUAUAUUGCCUAUACAAUAGAAAUUAAAAGAGGCCAAAUUACUCACAAAGGAAUGGGCGGCGGCCAAGAGUAGUGAUGCAAAACAGAUCACAACCACCAGGGAGGAACUCGAUUCCCUGAUGAAGCAACUAAACACAAGUCCAAUAGCCCCUUCUAUCCAAGAAGAGGUCAAAAAGAAGCAGGAGGAGUUAGUCAAUAAACUCAAAAUAGAGGAGGCUAACCAAAAACAGAGGAGCAAGGUUAGUUGGCUUAGAUUAGGAGACUCAAACACUAAGUUCUUUAGUCUUGUUACAAAGAUAAGGAAGGCAAAGAACUCAACUCUGAAAUUAAUAAAUGGAGAAGGUAGGGUAGUCAUCUCAAGAGCCCAAUUAGAAAAAAGGAGUAUGGAUUACUUUAAGGAUAUUUACAAGAGUUCUCCCUUCCCAGAUAUACCUUCUCCUGUUAUUUUCCUUAGGAUUGUAUCUCAAGAUAUAACAUAUGGUUGACUCAACAACCCACAAAAGAGGAAGUUAAAUCCACCUUUUCGUAUUCCAAAUGGGGAAAUCCCCAGGACCCUGAUGGUUUCACAGUGGGUUUCUUCAAAGCUCUCUGGUCGGAACUAAAGCAAACAAUCUUAACUUGUGUCAGACAGUUCUUCAAUGGCAAACCCAUAUUGAAGUCGGUUAAUCACACAUUUAUCACACUUAUCCCAAAAAACCCACAGCUACCGAACUAUCAGAUUUUAGGCCAAUCUCUUGUGUCAACUUAAUUUACAAACUGUUCACCAAAAUCCUAGCUGACAGAAUCGCCAAGGUCUCCUCUGAGUUAAUAUCUCCUCACCAAACAACUUUCAUAGCAGGAAGAAACAUCUCAAAUAACACCAUCUUGGCAGACGAGAUGGUACAUGUCUUCAGGAGAAUUAGAACUCCCAAAAGAUGUUUAAGUAUCGAUCUCAAAAAGGCUUUCGAUACAGUGAAAUGGCAAGCAAUCACACACACCCUUGACGCAAUGGGAUUCAACCCUUUGUUGUGCAAAUUGGUACACAACUGUAUAUCCACAGCCUCCUUCUCGGUACUGGUUGAGGGAUCCCCCACCCCCUCUUCACUAAUUUUAGAGGAAUCAGGCAGGGGGAUCCAUUGUCUCCUAUCUUAUUCGACCUGGUAAUGGAUAAUCUUAGCAGCCUAAUAGAGAAAGAGAUCAAAGAUAAGAGGAUGGAUACUUAUAUCGUGAAUGGAGCGGUUUCUAUCUCGCACCUCAUAUAUGCAGAUGAUGUGUUAAUCUUCUCAAAGACAAAUCCCAAGUCUCUAGAAACAAUCAAGAAAAUACUAGAGACAUUUUCCAAAUUCUCAGGCCUCGAGAUUAAUCAGGAGAAGAGCUCAGCAACCUACUCAAAGGUAUGCAUGAAUGAUCAUUAUCUGCAUAACAUUCUCAACUUCCCAACUAAAUCCCUCCCUAUCAACUAUCUUGGUAUCUCUAUAACUGGAAGAAAGAAAUCUCACGCGACAUGUUGGAAGUUGAUAAAUCCAAUAGAAAAAAUGUUAGUCAGAUGGAAAGGAAGAUGUCUGUCUUAUGCAGGAAGAACUCAAUUAGUGAAUUGGGUCUUACAAGGUAAGUUUCAAUACUGGGCAAACGGAACCACACUGCCAUGCACAGUUAUUAAAAAGAUUCAGAGCCUAGCUUACAACUUCAUCUGGGACGGGAGAAGAGAGAGUAGUUGGGAAAAAAUGGUACUCCCAAAGAGCGAAGGUGGAAUAGGGAUCAGAGAUUUCUUUACAACUAAUGCUUCAACAUUGGUUAAAAGAACAGAGAGGAUGUGGAGUCCUAAUAACUCCAUACUAGCAGAUUGGAUAAAAAUUAGAUACAUUAAAGGAAGAAACAUUGGGGAAAUAAAGUGUAGGCCCACUCUGGACUCUCACAUGUGGAAAACAAUACUAGCUAAUAAGGAAACAAUAGGGAAAUGUAUAAACUGCCUGAGUAACUAUAGGGUCACACAAAUUGCCCCAUCCAAGCACUCAGAAACAUUAAUGCCUAGAGGCAUCUUACAAGAGAUAAAUCUAGGGAUCUGGGCCAAAAAGCCUCCCAAAUUCUCCAUGUCAAUAGUCUGAACACUUUAACUAGACUGCAAGGCUGGGGACUUAACAUAAAUAUGUCAUGCCCACUAUGUGGAAACGAGGAGGAAACAUUACAACACCUAUACUUUAACUGCCAUUACACUAGAUCCCUAUUGCUAGAGACCACUAGCUGUCUUAAUAAUGCUGUUUGGACACUUAGUGGGCAAAAUCCCUCAUCUCCUGCAAUAGAUAUUAGGAUAGUAGAUAUUAUGGAAACAAUACAAAAAUUCACCUACAAGUCUAGUUGUUGGGGGGUACACUGGACUAUGCUAGUAUUAUUUUCCUGACACAUAUAGUGUGAAAGGAACAGGAGAUUAAAACAACACACCCUAAGGCCCCCAGAAAUUGUCGGCAGAUAAAUUAUAAAGGAUGUGAGCAUUGCAUAUGAUUCUACAUCCUAUAAGAAGCACAAUCUUUCACAGAUUGAAAUACAAGCUAUACGCUCAUGGGAGUCCAAUCUCUUGAGGCUUCAAUCCUUGGCCAGUUAGUCAGGGCCAUAGCUGCAUAAGAGAUAGACAAUGUUUUUACAUUUACUGUACUUGCAUUUCCCUAUAUUAUUCUGUAAUCUUGGGCUUUGCCCAACCUCUUUUUCAGUAAUGAAAGUUUUAAUUUCUCAAAAAAAAAAAAUACCAGUGACCCAUUCACUCAUCAAGUUGAACUCAUCAACGUGAAUAGCAUCAUACUUUUUGGAGCCGCUUUCAACAUUGACUUGUUCGUUUUGAACCUCUCUAACAACUUCAUAUUGUAGUUGACGUAGACGAGGUUAUCUAGCUGCGAGAUGCCCAAGCGAUUCCUUAACUUGGUAUGGAACUGUAAAUGACAUUUGAUUUUAGAUAGUCAAAUGAUAUGAAAUAAAUAAUUGAACAUGUAAAAAACUUACGUGUGCAAAAGUACUCCAAUUCAUUUCACAGCUUGAAGCUGAGCAACACAAACCCAAGAUUCUUGUUGCAAUUUUCGUUAACUCCACAAUAUUUCCUCCUAAUAUUACCCACCAUUGUUUCAGCCAUUUUAAUUGCUGCACGUCCUCCAAAACUUCUGUCUUUUCUUGUACAAGCACAUGUCAGAAAAGAUUGUGAUCGUCUAGUCAACACCAAUAAUCAUUCUUUCAACGCAUUCAUUGAAUGUUGAUUCAUACUCCAGAGAUUGAUCCCUUGUUUCAGGAUCACUGUAGUUGGAAAAAAAUAGAAUUAAGCAUCGACUCGUAAAUUCAUUGAUGAAGUAGAAAUGUUGAAUUAAGUCAUAUCUUUUCAACUUGAAAUAGAAAUAUGGAUUAAAAAAAAUGCAGCCCUUAUUAGAGGAGCCUUGUAAUGCUUCCCCCAAAGUUUGUCGAUAAUAGUACGAAUCGGAAGGUAUAAACUUGAAUCUUCUUUGAAGUUGUUCUUUAUAGCUUUUUGGCCUUGAAGAAGGCUCUUUGAAGGUAAGUCAUAUUCGGUUUGGUGUCGCCAUCCACAAUCCUGAAAACCUUCAGAAUAGGUUCUGACGAUAAAAGUAUUUGAUCGACUAUCAACCAAAAACAUACAUUAAGGAAUGUAUCAGCCACAUCCAAGCAAGUUCUUUGAGAGGGACCCCUCGCCCAAUUGGACCAAUCAAAUUUCCUCAAAUUAUCCUUGGCACUUUUGAUACUUUGAAGGGUGAGGAAAGCCGUAGUGAAACGAGUUAUUCCGCAUCGAACUCUACCAUUCAACUUGAGCCACUCCGCAAGCAUAUUAAAGAUGAAAUGGAUGAAACUAGUGAUCUUCUUCGCACUUUGGAUCGUUUCUUUAUAACGAGGUAUUCUACGAAAAAUAGAAUAUAAGUAACUCUGAAUUAUAAAUAUCUAAGUGUGAAUUUGGAAAAUAAAAUUGUAAAUUACCUUACGAUGUCUUCAAGUAAUAGGUCCAAGACAUGAGCAACACAUGGGGUCCAAAACAUAUGUGGAUAUUUUUCCGUCAACAUACGUCCAGUCAUAACGUAGUUCGAUGCAUUAUCCGUGCACACUUAGACAAUCUUAUUGCUACCAAUUUUUUUAAUUACUUCUAAUCCUUUGGCUAUGAACUCCCCUUCUUCAUGUCGGAGGUGCAAUCAACGGAUUGAAUGUAAAAAGUUCCUUCUUCAUAAUUUACCAAGUAGUUGAUGAUACAUCUCCCUUGACGAUCAGUUCAACCAUCGGACAUCAGAGUACAAUCCUGCUCAUCCCAUUUGAUCUUAUGAUCCCUUUGUAUUUCAUGAAUAUUCCAGACUUCUUUGGUAAGUAAUAAGUAUCCCUCCAACAAUUUGGUCCAGUGUUGGAGGAGUGUAUCCUGGACCGUACCAUCCAAUACCCUUCACCCAUGCCUGAAAAUAAACUUAGGUAAGUAAUUUCAAAUUUUAUAAAAAAAAUAGAAUUUGAAAUAUUACCAAUAAUUCAGGAUUAAGAGCGACAUUGAAAGAAACACCACUGGUAAAGAAGAAUUUGCCUUCAUAUUAAUGGGGAGCAAUUCUCUCCUUUUUCAUAUGAUCGGCUAACGUGGUUUGACAGAAGCGUUCUAUUUGUUGUUGCCUGAUUAUAUUGUGAAGUGUUUCGUCCUUCGACAAAUCUAAGGGACCGACCUGUUUCAAAUCAAAGUCCACUGUCUUCUUCGUUGCAGUCGAUGAAGUUGAACCUGUACCACUCAAUGCAAUUUUUCUCUCAAUAGCUCGAUAUCGACGAUCGAUGGUUUCUUCGAGAAGACUUUGUCUUGCAAAACCUUCAAGAUCUCCUCUCUAAUCUUCAUUGGAGCUUUCGGGCAUGGUCUUACGCUUAAUUUUCCACCGUUCGGGUUCACUCGAGUGAUGUGCACCUAACACGGUGGAUUCCACCUGUAGAAACGAAUCCGCAAAGAAGGCACCGAACGGGUUGUGUGCUCUUGCCUUCUUGUUUUUUGGCGUAUGCAACAUAUUUCCAAGUAGGAUUGUCCCAAUUUGGAGGUCGGUUGCUUUUCAUAUCCAAGUACAAUUUUUCGUCGAUCGAUUGGUUAUAGAUACUUGUAUCUAUCUCUUCCAGAGGAUUUGUAGUCGAAUCCUUUUGAAUUUGACCUUCUUUUUCUUCAAUGAUAUUGUUGAUGUCUUCAUUGGCUUCUUCAAUAGGUACUUGUUGUGUAUAAUCAUUUUCAUGAAAUUUAUCCAUUUUGAAAACCCUAAAGCAAUAAUUAAUUAAUUAAAAAACCACAACCCUAAUCUACAUAAUGAUAUGAAGAAAGAGAUGAAGAAAAAUAAUCAAUCUAAGAUUUUAAAACAAAUCUAAGAUUUGAUUUUUUUUGACCUUUUUUUUACUUUCCCCCCUCCAAAUUAGUUCACCGGAAGCUCGCCAGAGGAUCGCCUGGAGAACGCCGCAAAAAUCGGGGGAAGAACUGGCUGGAGUUGGGAGCAAUGUGAGGGAGAAGGGAAACCCUAGGGAGGGUUUUGUGUUUUUAGAAAGUCUGGAAACACAAAACCCUGUAUGUUUUAAUUAAAUAAAUUAAAACAGACUCGGAUCCGAUUAAGAGGCGCAUCUCCCUAUCAGAUCGCAUCCGCGCAUAUGCGCGCGCAUCCUGAAUCUUGUGUGACGUUGGAUUGCUCAAACUAUUUCGCUUGGCGUGCUCAAUUCGUUGUCAUUUUGCGAGGUCAUGAGCUGAUGGAUUUCGUCCAUGGGAAAAUUGACCUAUCGGACGCUAUGGCCAUAAAAUAGGAUCAAUUGAUCCAAGGAUGGCUACUGUCGGCCAUGUUUCGUUUGCCGGAAUGCCCAAUUGCGCAAUUUCCGGAGGAUCAACUACUGUCGGAGGUUGUGGAGGCGGAGGUGGCGUAGGCUCUUUUAGUGUUUUGUCUUCCGAAACAUCUUGCGUUUCGUCGUCAUCACUGCUGGAAUCAUUAAGGUCGCAUUGAGCGAUGGCAUAUUCUUUAUCGGACGACAUUAGGCCUGUCCAAGAAAUAAAGAAAUUAAAAAAAAAAGGUUGGCCGGAUUCCGGUCUAUUUUAGUUGAAAUCCGGUCAACCUAUUUAGAUAGUUUAUGAAAUUUGGUGAUAAAUACGUAAAAGGCAUUACAUUACAAAAAAAAACGAGGAUGGUCGAAAUCCGACAAAACAGGUCGGAUUCCGGCCAACUUUGUUUUCUUUUUUAGAUGGUUUAAAGGAAGAGAAAAAUGAUCAAAAAAAUGAAGAUCUUACUUCAAGUAGGCGAGUAGAAUGGGGGAAGAAAAGCGGCCGAAGGUGGAAGCUCCGGCGAGGUGAGGUCUAGUUUUUUUUAAAAGAGAUGAGAAAGAGAGAGAAAAUAAUCUAGGGUUUUAAAAAGAGGGUAUUGGGUUUAAAUAGUUUUAUAUUAAAGAAGAGGUAAUAAGGGAAAUAAAAGAGUUUUAAGUUCUUUUAAAUGGGUAGACACACCGACCCGGAGCACCAGCCCGGCCAAAAAAAGCGAUGGGACAAGCGCCCCAAAUGAGCGCUUUAAUGCUUUAAAACGCUAAAGCGGCGCUUUAAAACCAUGUCUCAAAGAGAUGUACCUCAAAACAUGGGAAUCAUCUUGAGAAAGGUAGCUGAUUUUAAUAUCAUGCAGUAGAAGACUCUACUACCACUACUUCAGAGCAUUAAAGUUCUAUGUUUAAUGGAGUAAUCAUAUUCCUCUUAAAGAAAUCUUAACUCACAUCAAAUGGGUUGCCCAUUAUCAUUGAUGUGAGUAUAAAUAUAAUGGGCCUAAAGGAGGAUCAUUAUUGAAAAUCGUGCUAAUCAAGGUAUUAUCCUUUGAACUUCUUUUUCUCCCGUUCUUACUAUUCCUGUACUGUUCUUAUUCUUUCUUAGAUCUAGAUCUAGAAACCUUGGUGGAUUUCAAGUUUCUCCCCUCAUUCCACUAGAAGAAGCUCAGAAGAAGCUCUUUCAAUCUUCUUCUACCCCCUUAAUCUGAUUUCCAGGGAUAUCUCCUACAUCAUUUUAAUAUCACAGCUUACUGUGAUGCGGAUUGGAUAGAAGAAUCCAAACAAGAUACUUGGUAUAUAUUGGGGAUUAAUUAGUUUCUUGAGCUUCUAAAAAACAAUCUACUAUUACUAGGUCAAGCACAAAAUCUGAGUUUCGAGCCAUUGCCUUAACAGUUGUUGAGAUUGAAUGGAUUGGUUGUUUGUUGAAAGAAUUGGGGAUUUAUCUGAAAUUACCUUAUAAGUUGUUUUCUUAUAACUUAGGAGCAACUCAUUUGGUUGCUAAUCCAGUUUAUCAUUCUAAAACCAAACAUGCAGCCAUAGAUUUCAGAUUUGUUUGAUACUCUUGUUAUACAACACAUCAAAUGUUCUACAACAAGCUGAUAUUUUCACUAAAGCAUUGAAGCCUAAGCCCGAAGCCUUUCAAGGAACUCAAAGACAAGUUGAUUUGUUCACAUCACCAGUCUUGAGGGGGGAGGAGUAUUAGUGAUAUGUUAGAAUUAGUUCUAUUUAUCAUAAUUGCUAUAUUCUUAACGUAAAUAGUUAAUUACUUCUAUGGGCUAAUUAGUAAUUUCAUUAUCAUUUUUGUAUAGAGUAUAACUAAUUUCUGUUAUACUGAAUUGCAGUGUUUUUCAUCAUGCGGUCUAGUACUCUAGUGCAUGUAAGCGAUUGCCUUCAUGCGUUAUCCGGAUCCGCCUAACCCAUUUACCCAAACAAAAACAAAAAAACAUACCUUAUUCUGUAGACGGCACCCAUUUACCCAAAAAAACCCCAAGGACUUCUGCAAACCCUAGCUCGCCUCCUUCUUGUUCUUCUUCCAACGUUCUUCUUGUUCUUCUGCAAACCCUAGCUCGUGAUUUCCAGGUUAGAAAUCCCGAUUUCCCACCUUCUAUUCCCGAUUUAUUAUAAAUAUCAGUGAAUAUUAUAUGUAUAUUUUAUAAACUUAGGUUAUAUAUUGUAAAAUAUAUAUAUUUUAUAAACUCAGGGUAUAUAUUUAUAAACUUAGGGUAUAUAUUAUAUAUAUAUAUUCCUGAUUUUAGGCGACGCCUAGGCUCUCUAUGCGGUUAUGGCCAUCGCAUGACCGCAUGGCCGCAUGAAAAACCUUGCUGAAUUGUAUAUAUAUCCUACUCAUUGAUAAUGAAAAGGGAUCAAGUUUACUCUACUCCAUUAUUUACAUCUUGAUCACUUAUAUUAUUUUCCUGUCUUCGCAAGGUUGGAGCUUCUUAAUCUAGAUUCUGUAGUGAGAUCAAUCAUUUCUCUUAGGGUUGAAAUUCUUAAGAUGGUUCUUGUGAGCUAGAAAGGGGGUUAUGGUCAAUUAAACAGACAAGCUCUAUAGUCUAUUCCAUUCCUCAUUCUAGGGUUUUACUGCUUAACUAAUUUCAAGUACUUAGUGAGUUUUUGGGUUGCCCAAAUAUCAAUUGAGAUUUAGACCUGAUGGGUAUCAAUUGAGCUUUAUACUUGAUUGGUAUAAAUUCAUCAAUUUUUAGGGCCUUUUUUUGGUUGAAAAUCUCAUGGUGUCAUCUUCUCUGCUUCUUCAGUGCUGAUGGGAUGGUCUUUGGGGCAUUAGAUAAAUGCUCUCUGUGCAUGGGUUUCCUUUCUUAUUCUGGUCGUCUAUAUCGUUGUCAUGGUUAUCUAUCAGCUUGGGGAAAGUGCAAUUUCACUACAACCGAACCCAUUCGCCUGAAGAGUAAAUGGAAAAUCCCCAAAGAGAGUAAAAACAAGUAUUUUUGUGAGGUACACAGCACUUUUUGUUUCUUACCUUAUGCUAUUUUUUAAUUAUUAAUUUAGUAUAAAUAUAUUGGUGAAUUCGUAGGAACAACAAAAAACACAAUUUUUAUGAUUGAUUGCAGUGGUUCAAAUCUCAAAAUUCAAAGAAACCUGUUCGCAUUCUCCCUCUCCCUACUAGUAGCUCUCCUUUAAAUCAGUCUGUUGGCAGAUUUUCUCAGCCUUUUGCUAAUGAAGGAUUGGAAAAUUUGAAAGUUACCAUAAGUGGUGUACCAAAAGAAAAACUGGUAUGCAUUUUUCUCUGGGUGUUUAAAUGUUUAAUGUACAUUGAUGGAUACUGGAUGCUAAGCAUUAAAGUGAUACCUUAUGCAGGGUGAUUUGAAAAGCAAACUUGAAAGUGUUGGUGUUGCUGUUCAUGCCAAGAUAAAGAAAGGUUUGGACAUUGUGCAUUAUUUCCUUUUUCUUGUUUCAUAAUUUUGAUUUCAUUCAAAAUAGGGCCAUCUUCCCCUCUUUUUUAUGUUUUUAUUUUUAUAACAAAUAUUUAUCGAUAAUCAAUAUUACCUAAUGUAACAUUUCAUUGAACAUUACUUUACUUAAUGGGUGUAGAUACUAGCUGUUUGGUUGUGGGUAAACAUUUGGAAGAGGCUGAUCCUGAAAUUAAAAGAGCUCGGUCAGUAGUGUUGCUUGAAUAUAUUUUUACCACUUUCAAUAUGUUGAUUGGUCCAAAGGAUCUUGCUUGAAAUUUUUAAAAGAUAAUUUUUUUUCAGGAAAAUGAAAUUACCUAUUGUGAUGGAGGAUUAUUUGGCUGAUUGUAUCACAAGAAAGAAGAUACUGGCUUUUGACUUGUAUAAAGUUGAAAAAGUUGGAGAGGUUUCCGAUAGUGCCAUGGUCACUGUGAAAGUCAAGGGACGGAGUUCUGUGCAUGAGUCCUCAGGUCUACAAGAUACGUGUCAUAUCCUAGAGGAUGGGAAAAGCAUCUAUAAUACAACCCUAAAUAUGUCUGACCUUUCUACCGGUGUCAAUAGGUAAUAUUACGCAACCCUCUAUAUUUUUUUAGAAAUUAUAGUGGAUAUGAUUUAUUCAAUUAUAGUCAAACAUUUUUGAAAUAGUACAAAUCAGUAGAAAAUAUGGCUUAAUUUUCAAUUCAAUCAAAAUUUGAACCGAUAGAUAUAUCAUUACUCAUUAGCAUCAAGAUCAAAAUUAAAUGCUGUUGGAAUUUGGUCAAUGAGCCUUAUAGCCUAGGUGUAGUAAAUUAGGCUUAGUUGAGUAAUUAGAGCCUAGAUUAUGGGUGGCAUUUAUACUAUGAUUGGUAUUAUAUUAUUAUUACUAAUGGCCAGUCAGUAAUUAUGGUAGACUCGGUAGUUAGUUGUUUUCUCUUUUACUUUCUGUUAUACAAAGUAGGUAAGAUUUAAUAUAAAUACAUGAUUAAUUCUUAAUGAAUGCAAGGCAUUUUGCAUAAACUCUCAUCUCAUUUUUCUACUUUAACAUCAAAACAUGACAUCAUCACUUGCAUAGUUUUAAAAGUUCUGCUUUAAGCGCGCUAAAGUUCUCGUGGAGGAGCGUUUUUCUAGAGAGGGUAAUCAAGCGGGUUCGGGUAAAGAACAACUCGAUUACCCAAUUACACCUAUUAUUUAAUAAUAUUUUCACCUAAUAUACUUUUUUUCCCUAUUCUACCUCUCUUUUCUAACUUAAAUUAAAAACUCUUAUCCCACUUUCAGAUUUUAGUUUGAUUUAAUUGUAGUUGGAUUAAAUUUUACUUGUAUGAAUUAAAUCAUGUGAUUUUAUACUUUUAUAAGGUAUUUUUAA
Molecule: long non-coding RNA, 77912 nt
Filed under: Zostera marina
Lineage: Eukaryota; Viridiplantae; Streptophyta; Magnoliopsida; Alismatales; Zosteraceae
Description: long non-coding RNA (ZMAR_LNC003264)
Source: RNAcentral